Molecule: long non-coding RNA, 62678 nt
Filed under: Hordeum vulgare
Lineage: Eukaryota; Viridiplantae; Streptophyta; Magnoliopsida; Poales; Poaceae
Description: long non-coding RNA (HVUL_LNC007845)
Source: RNAcentral
CACGCUCUUCUUGGCCUUCUUCUUCUUCUUGUCGGCGCCGCCGUCCUUGCCGGGCACGCGCUUCUCGGCCUUGGGCUUCUUCUCCGCCUCCACAGGCUUCUUCUCCGCCGCGGGCUUCUUCUCGGCCUUGGGCGCCAUGGCUGUUUCGGCGGGGAGCAGGAGGCGAGAGAUGGGUUUGGGGGGAGGACUGUGGGCUUGUUGUGGUUGGGGUUUGAGGCGUGUGUUUCGGUGGACGGGGCGCUGGGAAUAUAUAGGGAUGCGCGGAGGGGCGUGACUGGUGGAGACGGUUAGGGUCAGGAUCGGUGACGUGGCUGAGUCCGGGGUCGUUGGAUUUGAUGGACGGACGGAUUUGGACGCGGUGACGGGGUGGAUCCGCGCGGGGAGGCGUGACCUCGCUGUUGGGCGGUGGGUUUAGGCGGCCAGUAGAAAUUUGGGAAGCGAAGCGCGAGCGGGAAGGUCUGUUUUGGGCGCUCCGUGAUGGAUUGGAGUGAGUGCGACCAUGUCAUAAUUUGGAUUUGCUCGGGAUUAUUUUAGGGUAUAUAUAUAUGUUUGAUGCGUAAGAGCAAUGAUAAGAUAGAGUCAGUAGGAUGUGAGGAUUAAAAUAAUAUAUUUUUUGUUGAGUUGGAUGAGCGAGAAGAGGAGAUGGAAUGAAAGCGGACUCUUCGUGAAGAGCUAGCUAUAUCACAUGCUCCUACGUGUUUUGUGAGAAUGAAAUGGGCCAUAUAUGAUAAAAAUAGUAUCUUUUUAUAGCUAACUAUUUUACAAGCUAGAUAUAAGAUAGCUUAUGACCAGCAGUUGGCUAUACUAUUAACCAUGCUCUAAGCAUAUAAAGCGGGACCCCUUAAAUGUUCGAUCAUGUCAUCGGUCACAAAAAAUUGACCUAGACACGUCUCUCAAACCGGCAUCAAACGUCUGGGCUGACCGACAUCCCAUUUCUAGCCCAAAUACGAGGGGAUAUGGGGGACCUCGGGCGUGUCCGGGCACGCCGUCACGUCGACCUGACAGCUUGGCCCCACGCGGAGUCACCGGAAAUCCCGACGGUCCGACGGGAGCCUCGACCGUCCGCACGGUGUGAAUAUCGUGUGGCGCCACUCCGGCUCCCCACCAGAAGUCACGGUCGGCUAUUUAAUCCGGCCGACACACCUAACCCUAGCUCAUCCGCCUCCUGCUUCUCUCCGCCUCCUGCUUCUCUCCGCCGCCGCCCGAGCCCGUCCGCCUCCUCUCGCAGUUCCUUCUCCGUCAGGAUGGUCCGACGGCUCAUCACCAUAUACGUGCACCUCACUCCGGAGCGGCACCUUCAAAUCGAGGCGGAGAUUCAGGCUCACCGCGCCACCCGCAUCGCCGCACCUCCCUCCGGACUCGCUGAAGACGAAGAAGGAGGAGGACGAGCAGCAACAACAACAUGAGGAAGAGGAGGAGGAGGCUUCCUGUUUGAGCAUGGCGGAGACGGACGCGAAGUUCGCCGUCGCCUAGUCGGAGGAGAUGGCGGAGCACCACGCCAUCCUCGAUUCCACCCGGGAUGGGGACGAGGUAUAGGCCAAUCGUCGGCUCAUCCGGGAGAGGCACGCGGAGGCCGACGCCCUCUUCGAUGAGAUGGAUGCGGAGAUUGAGGCGGAAGAGGCUGUAGCGGAGCAGCCGGAUGCGUCGGAGGGGGCGGAGCUGCGGCAAGCGGCCAUUUACAUUGGAAUGAAUCUAACACCCAUACAGUUCUGGUGUUGAUCAUGCUUCGCUCGUGGAAGAGGUUUAGUCAGUGGGUGUGCAACAUUCAGAUCCGCAUGCACUUUGCAAAUAUUUGCGUCCUCUCCUUCGACGUAGUCGUGAAUGAGGUUGAAGCAUCGUUUGAUGUGUCUGGUCUUCUUGUGAAACCUUGGUUCCUUUGCUAGAGCAAUGGCACCAGUGUUGUCACAGAACAGAGUUAUUGGAUUUAGUGCACUCGGCACAACUCCAAGAUUCUACUCCGCUUCACAUGUAGAAUCUGCUACGACGCUUUGCUUGGAACUGCAUCAGCUUACCGCACCCCCAUUAAGAAUAAAUACGUAUCCGAUUUGAGACUUAGAGUCAUCCGGAUCAGUGUCAAAGCUUGUAUCGACGUAACCCUUUACGACGAGCUCUUCAUCACCUCCAUAAACGAGAAACAUUUCCUUAGUCCUUUUCAGGUACUUCAGAAUAUUCUUGACCGCCGUCCAGUGAUCCACUCCUGGAUUAAUUUGAAACCUUCCUGACAUACUUAUGGCCAGGCUGACGUCCGGUCUUGUGCACAGCAUUGCAUACACGAUAGACCCUGUGGCUAAAGCAUAGGGGACGGUACUCAUCUUUUCUCUAUCUUCCGCGGUUACUAGACAGUGAGUCUUACUCAACUUUAUACCUUGUAACACUGGCAAGAACCCCUUCUUGGACUGCUUCAUUUUGAACUUCUUCAAAACUUUAUCAAGGUAUGUGCUUUGUGAAAGUCCUAUUAGGCGCCUCGAUCUAUCCCUAUAGAUCUUAAUGCCUAAUAUGUAAGCAACUUUUCCUAGGUAUUUCAUUGAAAAACAUUUGUUCAAGUAAUCCUUUACGCUCUCUAAAAACUCCACAUUGUUUCCAAUCAAGAAUAUGUCAUCCACAUAUAAUAUUAGAAACGCUACAGAUCUCCCACUCACUUUCUUGUAAAUACAAAAUUCUCCAACAACUUGUAUAAACCCAAAUGCUUUGAUCACCUCAUCAAAGUGUUUUUUCCAAUUCCGAGAUGCUUGCACGAGUCCGUAAAUGGAUCGCUGGAGCUUGCAUACUUUGUUAGCAUUCUUCGGAUCGACAAAACAUUCGGGUUGCAUCAUACACAACUUUUUCUUAAGAAAAACAUUAAGGAACGCCAUUUUGACAUCCAUCUGCGAGAUUUCAUGAUCGAAAAGUGUAGCUAUUGCUAACAUGAUUCGAACGGACUUAAGCAUCGCUACGGGUGAGAACGUCUCAUCGUAGUCAACUCCUUGAACUUGUGAAAAACCCUUUGCCACAAGUCGAGCUUUAUAAACGGUCGCAUUACCGUCUACGUUCGUCUUCUUCUUAAAGAUCCAUCUGUUCUGAAUAGCCUUGCGACCUUCAGGCAAUACUUCCAAAGUCCACACUUUGUUUUCAUACAUAGAUCCUAUCUCUGACUUCAUGGCCUCUAACCAUUUGUUGGAAUCCGGGCCCACCAUUGCUUGUUCAUAUUUCGCAUGUUCAUCGUUGUCUAACAACAUGAUAGAUAAGACAGGAUUCCCGUACCACUCAGGAGCAGUACGUGAUCUUGUCGACCUGCGAGGUCCGACAGCAAAUUGAUCCGAAGCUUCAUGAUCAUCAUUAUUAGCUUACUCCUCAAUCGGUGUUGCCUCGACAUAGAUUUCUCUCUGCCCCGCGCCACCAUCGAGAGGGAGCAGAGGUUCCACAACCUCAUCAAGUUCUAUCUUCCUCCCACUCAAUUCUUUCGAUAGAAACUCCUUCUCAAGAAAAGCUUCGUUCUUAACAACAAACACUUUGCCCUUGGGUAUGAGAUAGAAGGUGUACCCAACUGUCUCUUUUGGGUAACCUAUGAAGACGCAUUUUUCCGCUUUCGGUUUCAGCUUUCCAGGCUGAAGCUUUUUGACAUGAGCAUCGCAUCCUCAAACUUUAAGAAACGACAACCUUGGCCUCUUGCCAUGCCAUAGCUCAUAUGGUGUCGUCUCAACGGAUUUUGAUGGGUGCCCUAUUUAAAGUGAAUGCAGGUGUCUCUAAUGCAUAACCACAAAAAAGAUAACGACAAAUCAGUAAGAAACAUCAUAGAUCGCACCAUAUCUAACAAAGUACGACUACGACGUUCGGACACACCAUUACGCUAUGGUGUUCCAGGCGGUGUCAACUGUGAAACGAUUCCACAUUGUCUUAAGUGAGCACCAAACUCGAAACUCAGAUAUUCACCCCCUCGUUCAGAUCGUAUGAACUUGAUCUUCUUGUUACGAUGAUUUUCAACUUCACUCUGAAAUUGCUUGAACUUUUCAAACGUUUCAGACUUGUGUUUCAUCAAGUAGAUAUAUCCACACCUACUCAAAUCAUCAGUGAAGGUGAGAAAAUAACGAUAUCCGUCGCGUGCCUCCACACCCAUUGGACCGCAUACAUCAGUAUGCAUGAUCUCCAACAAGUCAGUUGCACACUCCAUUGUUCUGGAGAACGGAGUCUUAGUCAUCUUGCCCAUGAGGCAUGGUUCGCACGUGUGAAGUGAUUCGAAAUCAAGUGACUCCAAAAGCCCAUCAGCAUGGAGUUUCUUCAUGCGCUUUACACCAAUAUGACCUAAGCGGCAGUGCCGCAAAAAGGUGGCGCUAUCAUUGUUAACUCUACAUAUUUUGGUCUCAAUGUUAUGUAUAUGUGUGUCAUCACAAUCAAGAUUCAAUAUGAACAAACCCCUCACAUUGGGUGCAUGACCAUAAAAGAUAUUACUCAUAAAAAUAGAACAACCAUUAUUCUGUGACUUAAAUGAGUAACCGUCUCACAAUAAACAAGAUCCACAUAUAAUGUUCAUGCUUAACGCAUGCACUAAAUAACAAUUAUUUAAGUUCAUAACUAAUCCUGAUGGUAACUGAAGUGAGACUUUGCCGAUGGCAAUUGCAUGAACCUUGGAACCAUUUCCCACGCGCAUCGUCACUUCAUCCUUCGCAAGCCUUCGUUUAUUCCGCAGUUCCUACUUCGAGUUGCAAAUAUGAGCAACAGAACCGGUAUCAAAUACCCAGGCACUACUAUGAGAGUUGGUUAGGUACACAUCAAUAACAUGUAUAUCACAUAUACCUGGUUUGGCGUUGGCCGCCUUCUUGAUACGUCCAUUUUGCAUCAUGCUUUCAUGUUGUUAUUUAUUGCUUUAUGGGUUGUUAUUACACUUCAUGGUACAAUACUUAUGCCUUUUCUCUCUUAAUUUGCAAGGUUUACAUGAAGAGGUAGAAUGCCGGCAACUGGAAUUCUGGCCUGAAAAAGGAGCAAGUUUGAGAUACCUAUUAUGCGCAACUCCAAAAGCCGUGAAAAUCAACGAGGAUUUAUUUUGGAAUUUAUAAAAAAUACUGGGCUGAAGAAGUACCAGAGGGGAGCCAGCAGGAGGCCACAAGCCUGCUAGGCGCGACCUCCCCCCUCGCCGUGCCUAGGGGGCUUGUGAGCUUCCUGUUGGACCAGUGGCCCCCCUCCUUUGCUAUAAGGAGGGUUUCGUUCUGGAAAAAAAAUCAAAAGGAGGCUUUCGGGAGGAAUCGCCGCCGCCACGAGGCGGAACUUGAGCAGUACCAAUCUAGAGCUCCGACAGGGUCGUCCUGCCGGGGAAACUUCCCUCCCGGAGGGGGUAAUCGUCGCCAUCGUCAUCACCAACACUCCUCUCAUCGAACGGGAAUCAUCACCACCAACGUCUUCAUCAGCACCAUCUCAUCUCCAAACCCUAGUUCAUCUCUUGUAANNNNNNNNNNACGACUCCGAUUGGUACUUGUAAGGUUGCUAGUACUGUUAAUUACUCUUUGUAGCUGAUGCUAGUUAGAUUACUUGGUGGAAGAUUAUAUGUUCAGAUCCUUGAUGCUACCCAUUACCACUCUGGUCAUGAACAUGAUUAUGCUUUGUGAGUAGUCACUUUUGUUCCUGAGGACAUGGGAUAAGUCAUGCUAUAAGUAGUCAUGUGAAUUUGGUAUUCGUUCGAUAUUUUGAUGCGUUGUAUGUUGUUUUUCCGCUAGUGGUGUUAUGUGAACGUCUACUACAUAACACUUAACCAUUAUUUGUGCCUAGAGGAAGUCAUUGGGAAGUAGUAAGUAGAUGAUGGGUUGCUAGAGUGACAGAAGCUUAAACCCUAGUUUAUGUGUUGAUUCGUAAGGGGCUGAUUUGGAUCCACUAGUUCAAUGCUAUGGUUAGACUUUGUCUUAAUUCUUCUUUCGUAGUUGUGCAUGCUUGCGAGAGGGGUUAAUCAUAAGUGGGAUCCUUGUCCAAGUAAGGGCAGUACCCAAGCACCGGUCUACCCACAUAUCAAACUAUCAAAGUACCGAAUGCGAAUCAUAUGAACAUGAUGAAAACUAGCUUGACAGAAUCUCCCAUGUGUCCUCGGGAGCGCUUUAGCUCCUCUAAGAGUUUGCCCAGGCUUGUCCCUUGCUACAAAAGGGAUUGGGCCACUUUGUUGCACCGUUGUUACUAUUGUUACUUGCUACGAAUUAUCUUGUCACGCAACUACUUGUUACUGAUAAUUUCAGUACUUGUAGAGAUUACCUUGCUGAAAACCACUUGUCAGAUCCUUCUGCUCCUUGUUGGGUUCGACACUCUUACUUAUCGAAAGGACUACGAUAGAUCCCCUAUACUUGUGGGUCAUCAAGACUCUUUUCUGGCGCCGUUGCUGGGGAGUGAAGCGCCUUUGGUAAGUGGAAUUUGGUAAGGAAACAUUUAUAUAGUGUGCUGAAAUUUAUUGUCACUUGUCACUAUGGAAACUAAUCCUUUGAGGAGCUUGUUCGGGGUAUAUUCACCUCGAACGGAAGCACAAGGAGUUUCUCCUCAACCUUCUGCACCUACUGAAAAUAUUUGCUAUGAAUUUCCUUCGGGGAUGCUUGAGAAAAUGCUGGCUAAUCCUUUUACAGGAGACGGAACAUCACAUCCCGACUUGCAUCUAAUCUAUGUAGAUGAAGUUUGUGGUUUAUUUAAGCUUGCAGGUUUGCCCGAGGAUGAGGUCAAGAAGAAGGUCUUUCCUUUAUCUUUGCAGGAUAAGGCAUUGACAUGGUAUAGGCUAUGUGAUGAUACUGGAUCAUGGAACUACAAUCGGUUGAAGUUGGAAUUUCAUCAAAAGUUUUAUCCUAUGCAUUUAGUACAUCGUGAUCGGAAUUAUAUUAAUAAUUAUUGGCCUCGUGACAGAGAAAGCAUCGCUCAAGCUUAGGGGAGGCUUAAAUCAAUGCUAUAUUCAUGCCCCAAUCAUGAGCUCUCGAGAGAAAUUAUCAUUCAGAACUUCUAUGCUCGGCUUUCUCAUGAUGAUCGCACCAUGCUUGACAUUUCUUGUACCGGUUCUUUUAUGAAGAGGGAUAUUGACUUCAAAUGGAAUUUAUCGGAGAGAAUUAAAUGCAACUCUGAAGAUUGGGAGCUUGAAGAAGGUAAGGAGUGAGGUAUGAAUUUCAAGUUUGAUUGCGUUAAAUCCUUUGUUGAAACAAAUACUUUUUAUGAUUUUAGCGCUAAGUAUGGACUUGACUCUGAGAUAGUAGCUUCAUUUUGUGAAUCAUUUGCUGCUCAUAUUUAUCUCCCCAAAGAGAAGUGGUUUAAAUAUCAUCCUCCUGUAGAAGUCAAUGUAGUUAAACCCAAUCGAGUUGAAGAGAAAGUCAUAGCCUAUAAUGAUUCCGUUGUUCCCAGUGCUUACAUUGAGAAACCACCUUUCCCUGUUAGGAUAAAGGAUCAUUCUAAAGCUUCAACUGUGAUACGUAGAGGCUACAUUAGAACACAUACACCCCCUGAGCAAAUUAGAGUUGAACCUAGGAUUGCUAUUAUCAAAGAUCUCAUGUCCGACAAUAUUGAUGGCCAUGAUAUUCACUUUUGUGAAGAUGCUGCUAGAAUUGCUAAACCCCAUGCUAGAGACAAACAUAGGCCUGUUGUUGGCACGCCUGUUGUUUCUGUUAAGAUAGGAGAUCAUUGUUAUCAUGGUUUAUGUGACGUGGGUGCUAGUGUUAGUGCAAUACCUUAAUCUUUAUAGGAUGAAAUUAAAGACGAGAUUGCACCUGUCGAGAUGGAACCUAUUGAUGUCACUAUUGAGCUUGCCAAUAGAGAUACUAUCUGCCCUUUGGGAAUUGUUAGAGAUGUUGAAGUCUUGUGUGGUAAAACUAAGUAUCCUGCUGAUUUUCUCGUUCUUGCUACCCCACGAGAUAGUUUUUGUCCCAUCAUAUUUGGCAGACCUUUCCUCAAUACUGUCAAUGCUCAUAUUGACUGUGAGAAGCAAACUGUCACUGUUGGCUUUGAAGGAGUGUCACAUGAGUUCAAUUUCUCCAAGUUUGGUAGACAACCUCAUGAANNNNNNNNNNNNNNNNNNNNNNNNNNNNNNNNNNNNNNNNNNNNNNNNNNNNNNNNNNNNNNNNNNNNNNNNNNNNNNNNNNNNNNNNNNNNNNNNNNNNUUAGUAAGUAGAUGAUGGGUUGCUAGAGUGACAAAAGCUUAAACCCAAGUUUAUGUUUUGCUUCGUAAGGGGCUGAUUUGGAUCCACUAGUUUAAUGAUAUGGUUAGACUUUGUCUUAAUUCUUCUUUCGUACUUGCGGAUGCUUGUGAGAGGGGUUAAUCAUAAGUGGGAUGCUUGUCCAAGUAAGGGCAGUACCCAAGCGUCGGUCCACCCACAUAUCAAACUAUCAAAGUAACGAACGCGAAUCAUAUGAACACGAUGAAAACUAGCAUGACAGAAAUUCACGUGUGUCCUCGGUAGCGUUUUUCCUCCUAUAAGACUUUGUCCAGGCUUGUCCCUUGCUACAAAAGGGAUUGGGCCACUUUGCUNNNNNNNNNNGUUGCUACUUUUUUUACUUGUUGCUUUCUACGAAUCAUCUCACCACACAAUCACUUGUUACCGAUAAUUUCAGUGCUUGCAUAUUUUACCUUGCUGAAAACCACUUGUCAGAUCCUUCUGCUCCUCGUUAGGUUCGACACUCUUACUUAUCAAAAGGACUACGAUUGAUCCCCUAUACUUGUGGGUCAUCAAGACUCUUUUUUGGCGCCGUUGCCGGGGAGUGAAGCGCCUUUGGUAAGUGGAACUUGGUAAGGAAACAUUCAUAUAGUGUGCUGAAAUUUAUUGUCACUUGUCACUAUGGAAACUAAUCCUUUGAGGGGCUUGUUCGGGGUAUCUUCACCUCGAACGAAAGUACAAAUAGUUGCUCCUCAACCUGCUGCACCUACUGAAAAUAUUUGCUUUGAAUUUCCUUCGAGUAUGCUUGAGAAACUGCUGGCUAAUCCUUUUAUAGGAGAUAGAACAUCACAUCCAGACUUGCAUCUAAUCUAUGUAGAUGAAGUUUGUGGUUUAUUUAAGCUUNNNNNNNNNNNNNNNNNNNNNNNNNNNNNNNNNNNNNNNNNNNNNNNNNNNNNNNNNNNNNNNNNNNNNNNNNNNNNNNNNNNNNNNNNNNNNNNNNNNNGGUGAAUAUCUGAGUUUCGAGUUUGGUGCUCACUUAAGACAAUGUGGAGUUGUUUCACAGUUGACACCGCCCGGAACACCACAGCGUAAUGGUGUGUCCGAACGUCGCAAUCGUACUUUAUUAGAGAUGGUGCGAUCUAUGAUGUCUCUUACCGAUUUGCCGUUAUCGUUUUGGGGUUAUGCAUUAGAAACAGCUGCAUUCACUUUAAAUAGGGCACCAUCAAAAUCCGUUGAGACGACACCAUACGAACUGUGGUAUGGCAAAAGGCCAAAGUUGUCGUUUCUUAAAGUUUGGGGAUGUGAUGCUUAUGUCAAAAAGCUUCAGCCUGAAAAGCUGGAACCCAAAGCGGAAAAGUGCGCUUUAUAGGUUACCCAAAGGAGACAGUUGGGUACACCUUCUAUCUCAAAUCCGAGGGCAAAGUGUUUGUUUCUAAAAACGGAGCUUUUCUCGAGAAGGAGUUUCUCUCGCGAGAAUUGAGUGGGAGGAAGAUAGAACUUGACGAGGUUAUCGAACCUCUCAUCCCUCUGGAUGGUGGCACAGGGCAAGGGGAAACCUCUGUCAUUGCAACGCCGGUUGAGGAGGAAGUUAAUGAUGAUGAUCAUGAAACUCCGGUUCAAGUUUCUGUCAAACCACGCAGGUCGACGAGACCACGUGCUGCUCCAGAGUGGUACGGUAAUCCCAUCUUGUCAAUCAUGUUGUUGGACAACAAUGAACCUGCAAAUUAUGAAGAAGCAAUGGUGGGCCCAAAUUCCAACAAAUGGCUAGAAGCCAUGAAGUCCGAGAUAGGAUCCAUGUAUGAGAACAAAGUGUGGACUUUGGAGGUACUGCCUGGGGGCCGCAAGGCUAUUCAGAACAAAUGGAUCUUUAAGAGGAAGACGGACGCUGACGGCAAUGUGACCGUUUAUAAAGCACGACUUGUGGCAAAGGGUUUUUCACAAGUUCAAGGAGUUGACUACGAUNNNNNNNNNNAUUCUCACCCGUAGCGAUGCUUAAGUCCGUCAGAAUCAUGUUAGCAAUAGCUGCAUUUUUCGAUUAUGAAAUCUGGCAGAUGGAUGUCAAAACGGCGUUCCUUAACGGUUUCCUUGAGGAAUAGUUGUAUAUGAUGCAACCCGAAGGUUUUGUGGAUCCUAAGAAUGCUAACAAAGUGUGCAAGCUCCAGCGAUCCAUUUAUGGACUGGUGCAAGCAUCUCGGAGUUGGAACAAACGCUUUGAUGAGGUGAUCAAAGCAUUUGGGUUUAUACAAGUGGUUGGAGAAUCUUGUAUUUACAAGAAAGUGAGUGGGAGCUCUGUGUUGUUUCUAAUAUUAUAUGUGGAUGACAUAUUGCUGAUUGGAAACAACGUNNNNNNNNNNNNNNNNNNNNNNNNNNNNNNNNNNNNNNNNNNNNNNNNNNNNNNNNNNNNNNNNNNNNNNNNNNNNNNNNNNNNNNNNNNNNNNNNNNNNNNNNNNNNNNNNNNNNNNNNNNNNNNNNNNNNNNNNNNNNNNNNNNNNNNNNNNNNNNNNNNNNNNNNNGACCUAGGAGAAGCUGCUUACAUUCUAGGCAUUAAGAUCUACAGGGAUAGAUCAAAACGCCUCAUAGGACUUUCACAAAGCACAUACCUUGAUAAAGUUUUGAAGAGGUUCAAAAUGGAACAAUCCAAGAAAGGGUUCUUGCCAGUUUUACAAGGUACGAGAUUGAGUAAGACUCAGUGCCCAUCAACUGAUGAGGAUAUAGAGCAUAUGAGCACCGUCCCCUAUGCUUCAGCCAUAGGUACUAUCAUGUAUGCAAUGUUGUGCACUAGACCGGACGUUAGCCUGGCCAUAAGUAUGGCAGGUAGGUUCCAGAGUAAUCCAGGAGUGGAUCAUUGGACGGCGGUCAAGAAUAUCCUGAAGUACCUGAAAAGGACUAAGGAGAUGUUUNNNNNNNNNNNNNNNNNNNNNNNNNNNNNNNNNNNNNNNNNNNNNNNNNNNNNNNNNNNNNNNNNNNNNNNNNNNNNNNNNNNNNNNNNNNNNNNNNNNNGUGUAUGUUGUUUUUCCUCUACUGGUGUUAUGUGAACGUCGACUACAUAACACUUCACCAUUAUUUGGGCCUAGAGGAAGGCAUUGGGAAGUAGUAAGUAGAUGAUGGGUUUCUAGAGUGACAGAAGCUUAAACCCUAGUUUAUGCUUCGUGAGGGGCUGAUUUGGAUCCACUAGUUUAAUGCUAUGGUUAGACUUUGUCNNNNNNNNNNCCUAGUGGUGUUAUGUCAACGUCGACUACAUAACACUUCACCAUUAUUUGAGUCUAGAGGAAGGCAUUGGGAAGUAGUAAGUAGAUGAUGGGUUGCUACAGUGAUAGAAGCUUAAACCCUAGUUUAUGUGUUGCUUCGUAAGGGCCUGAUUUGGAUCCACUAGUUUAAUGCUAUGGUUAGACUUUGUCUUAAUUCUUCUUUCAUCGUUGCGGAUGCUUGCGAGAGGGGUUAAUCAUAAGUGGGAUGCUUGUCCAAGUAAGGGCAGUACCCAAGCGCUGGUCCAUCCACAUAUCAAACUAUCAAAGUAGCGAACGUGAAUCAUAUGAACAUUAUGAAAACUAGCUUGACAGAAUUUCCCAUGUGUCCUCGGGAGCGCUUUACCUCAUAUAAGACUUUGCCCAGGCUUGUCCCUUGCUACAAUAUGGAUUGGGCCAAUUUGUUGCACCGUUUCUACUUUUGCUACUUGCUACUUGCUACGAAUCAUCUUGCCACACAACUACUUGUUACCAUUAAUUUCAAUGCUUGCAGAUAUCACCUUACUGAAAACCACUUGUCAGAUCCUUCUACUCCUUGUUAGGUUCGACACUCUUACUUAUCGAAAGGACUAUGAUAGAUCCCCUAUACUUGUGGGUCAUCACGGUAAUCAAGGCCUUCUUAAGUAUUUCAAAGUCUUCCUCACAAUCAUCAUAAAAAAAAUGAAUAUCCUUUUGCAAGAGAUUGGUAAGAGGCCUAGAAAUCUUAGAAAAGUCCUUAAUGUACCUUCUAUAGAAACCAGCAUGACCAAGGAAACUUCUUAUACCUUUGAUAUCUGUAGGGCAUGGCAUUUUCUCGAUCGCAUCAACCUAAGCCUUAUCGACUUCAAUACCUCUUUCAGAAAUUUUAUGUCCUAAGACGAUGCCUUCAUUAACCAUAAAGUGGCACUUCUCCCAAUUAAAGACAAGAUUGGUAUCUUUACAUCUCUGCAAAACUCUAUCAAGGUUGCUGAGGCAAUCAUCAAAAGAAGACCCGUAAACGGAGAAGUCAUCCAUGAAAACCUCAACAAUCUCUUCACAAAAGUAAGAGAAUAUAGCCAUCAUAUGUCUUUGAAAGGUAGCAGGUGCAUUACAUAAGCCAAAAGGCAUACGUAUGUAAGCAAAGGUAUCGAAAGGGCAGGUGAAAGUGGUUUUCUCCUCAUCAGUUUGUGCAACAGGUAUUUGGGAGAAACCAAAAUAACCAUCUAGAAAGCAGAAGGGUGUGUGUUUAGAAAAUCUUUCUACAUUUGGUCAAUGAAAGUCAAAGGGUAAUGAUCUUCCCUAGUGGCUUUAUUCAAUUUCCUAAAAUCAAUCACCAUCCUAUAGCUAGUAAUAAUCCUCUGUGGGAUCAAUUCAUCUUUGUCAUUAGGGACAACGGUAAUACCUCCCUUCUUAGGGACGCAAUGCACGAGACUCACCCAAUCACUAUGACCAACAGGAUAGAUAAUACCUGCUUCUAGGAGAUUUAGUAUUUCUUUUCUUACUACCUCUUUCAUCUUAGGAUUUAAUCUCCUUUGAUGAUCAGCAACUGGUUUGGAAUCAGGAUCAACUUUAAUUUUGUGCUGGCAUAGAGUGGGACUAAUGCCCUUAAGAUCGUCAAGAGUAUAUCCAAUAGCAGCACGGUGCUUCCUCAGAGUUUUUAAUAACUUCUUUUCUUCAUGCUCUGAAAGUCUAGCACUAAUUAUAACACGAUAUAUAUAUAUAUAUAUAUUUCAUCGAUAUAAGCAUACUUAAGAGUAUCAGGUAACUGCUUAAGCUCAAACAGAGGAUCAACCUUUGGUGGGGGUGGAUCUCCAAGCAGUUCAACAAGUAAAUUAUUCUUAAGGAUAGGAUGUUGUUCAAAGAUAACUCUAUCUAUCUCAUUCCUUUCAUCCAUAUGCAUAUCAUUUUCAUGCUCAAGCAAGUAUUGCUCNNNNNNNNNNAGCAAUAGAAGCUAGAGCAAUAAUUUCAUAUUUACUAGACAACUCUUUUUCAUGAGGUUGUCUACCAAACUUGGAGAAAUUGAACUCAUGUGACACACCUUCAAAGCCAACGGUAACAGUUUGCUUCUCACAGUCAAUAUGAGCAUUGAUGGUAUUGAGGAAGGGUCUGCCAAAUAUGAUGGGACAAAAGCUAUCUUGGGUGGUAGCAAGAAUGAGGAAAUCCGCAGGAUACUUCGUUUUACCACUCAAGACAUCAACAUCCCUAACAAUUCCCACAGGGCAGAUAGUAUCUCUAUUGGCAAGCUGAAUAGUGACAUCAAUGGGUUCUAUCUUGACAGGUGCAAUCCCGUCUUUGAUUUCAUCAUAUAAGGAUUGAGGUAUUGCACUAACACUAGCACCCACGUCACAUAAACCAUGAUAACANNNNNNNNNNAUCAACUGGCUUGGAAUCAGGAUCAAUUUUAAUCUUGUGCUGGCAUAGAGUGGGACUAAUGCCCUUAAGAUCAUCAAGAAUAUAUCCAAUAGCAGCACAGUGCUUCCUCGGAGUUUUUAGUAACUUCUUUUCUUCAUGCUCUAAGAGGCUAGCACUAAUAAUAACAUGAUAUAUCUCUUUUUCAUCAAGAUAAGCAUACUUAAGAGUAUCAGGCAACUGUUUAAGCUUGAACACAUGGUCACCCUUUGGUGGGGGUGGAUCUCCAAGCAGUUCAACACGCAAAUUAUUCUUAAGAAUAGGAUAUUGUUCUAAGACAACUCUAUCUAUCUCAUGCCUUUCAUCCAUAUGCAUAUCAUUUUCAUGCUCAAGCAAGUAUUGCUCUAAAGGAUCAGUAGGAGGCACGACAAUAGAAGCUAGGGCAAUAGUUUCAUCCUUACUAGGCAACUCUUUUUCAUGAGGUUGUCUACCAAACUUGGAGANNNNNNNNNNNNNNNNNNNNNNNNNNNNNNNNNNNNNNNNNNNNNNNNNNNNNNNNNNNNNNNNNNNNNNNNNNNNNNNNNNNNNNNNNNNNNNNNNNNNCACGCAAUCAAACUUGAAAUUCAUACCCGACUCUUUACCUUCAUCAAACUCUCAAUCUUCAGAGUUGCGUUUAAUUCUUUCCAAUAAAUUCAAUUUGAAGUCAAUAUCUCUCUUCAUAAAAGAACCGGUACAAGAAGUGUCAAGCAUGGUGCGAUCAUCAUGAGAAAGCCGAGCAUAGAAGUUUUGAAUGAUAAUUUCUCUCGAGAGCUCAUGGUUGGGGCAUGCAUAUAACAUUGAUUUAAGCCUCCCCCAAGCUUGAGCGAUGCUUUCUCUGUCACGAGGCCAAAAAUUAUAAAUAUAAUUCCGAUCACGAUGUACUAGAUGCAUAGGAUAAAACUUUUGAUGAAAUUCCAAUUUCAACCGGUUGUAGUUCCAUGAUCCAGUAUCAUCACAUAGCCUAUACCAUGUCNNNNNNNNNNAACGCAAUCAAACUUCAGAUUCAUACCUGACUCCUUACCUUCAUCAAACUCCCAGUCUUCAGAGUUGUGUUUAAUUCUUUCCAAUAAAUUCCAUUUGAAGUCAAUAUCUCUCUUCAUAAAAGAACCGGUACAAGAAGUGUCAAGCAUGGUGCGAUUAUCAUGAGAAAGGCGAGCAUAGAAGUUCUGAAUGAUAAUUUCUCUCGAGAGCUCAUGGUUGGGGCAUGAAUAUAACAUUGAUUUAAGCCUCCCCCAAGCUUGAGCGGUACUUUCUCUAUCACGAGGCCAAAAAUUAUAAAUAUAAUUCCGAUCACGAUGCACCAAAUGCAUAGGAUAAAACUUCUUAUGAAAUUCCAAUUUCAAUCGGUUGUAGUUCCAUGAUCCAGUAUCAUCACAUAGCCUAUACCAUGUCAAUGCCUUAUCCUGCAAAAAUAAGGGAAAUACAUUAUUCUUUACCUCAUCCUCGGGCAAACUUGCAAGCUUAAAUAAACCACAAACUUCAUCUACAUAGAUUAGACGCAAGUCGGGAUGUGAUGUUCCAUCUCGUGUAAAAGGAUUAGCCAACAGUUUCUCUAGCAUACCCGAAGGAAUUUCAUAACAAAUAUUUUCAGUAGGUGCAGCAGGUUGAGGAGCAACUCCUUGUGCUUCCGUUCGAGGUGAAGAUACCCCGAACAAGCUCCUCAAAUGAUUAGUUUCCAUAGUGACAAGUGAGAAUAAAUUUCAGCACACUAUAUAAAUGUUUCCUUACAAAAUUCCACUUACCGAAGACUCUUCACUCCCCGGCAACAGCGCCAGAAAAGAGUCAUGAUCACCCAAAAGUGUAGGGGAUCUAUCAUAGUCCUUUCGAUAUGUAAGAGUGUCGAACCCAACGAGGAGCACAAGGAUCUGGCAAGUGGUUUUCAACAAGGUAUUCUCUGCAAGCACUGAAAUUAUCGGUAACAGAUAGUUGUGUGAUAAGAUCAUUCAUAGCAAGUAGCAAGUAACAAUAGUAAAAAAGGUGCAGCAAGAUGGCCCAAUCCCUUUUGUAUCAAGGGACAAGCCUGGACGAACUCUUAUAGGAGGUGAAGCGCUCCCGAGGACACAUGGGAAUUUUGUCAAGCUAGUUUUCAUCAUGUUCAUAUGAUUCGCGUUCGCUACUUUAAUAGUUUGAUAUGUGGGUGGACCGGUGCUUGGGUGCUGCCCUUACUUGGACAAACAUCCCAAUUAUGAUUAACCCCUCUCGCAAGCAUCCUCAACUACGAAAGAAGAAUUAAGACAAAGUCUAACCAUAGCAUUAAACUAGUGGAUNNNNNNNNNNUACGAAGCAACGCAUAAACUAGGGUUUAAGCUUAUGUCACUCUAGCAACCCAUCAUCUACUUAUUACUUCUCAAUGCCUUCCUCUAGGCCCAAAUAAUGGUGAAGUGUUAUGUAGUCGACGUUUGCGUAACACCACUAGAGUAGAGACAACAUACAACACAUCAAAAUAUCGAACGAAUACCAAAUUCACAUGACUACUUAGAGCAAGACUUAUCACAUGUCCUCAGGAACAAAAGUGGCUACUCACAAAGCAUAAUUAUGUUCAUGAUCAGAGAGGUAUUUAAUAGCAUCAAUGAUGUGAACAGAUAAUAUUCCACCGAGUAAUCCAACUAGCAUCAACUACAAAGAGUAAUUAACACUACUAGCAACCUUACAGGUACCAAUCGGAGUCGCAAGACGGAGAUUGGUCACAAGAGAUGAACUACGGUUUGGACAUGAGUUGGUGUUGAUGAAGAUGUUGAUGGUGAUGAGUCCCCUCCGACGAGAGGAGUGUUGGUGAUGACGAUGGCGACGAUUUCCCCCUCUCGGAGGGAAGUUUCCCCGGCAGGAUGGCCGUGCCGGAGCUUUAGAUUGGUUCUGCUCAAGUUCCGCCUCGUGGCGGCGGCGNNNNNNNNNNGGCCUCCUCCUGAUUUUUUAUGGAACGUAACCCUCCUUAUAACAAAAGAUAGGAGCGAGAGGGGCAACAGGGGGCCCACAAGCCCCCUAGGCGCGGCUAGGGGGGUAGGUCGCGCCUAGCAGGCUUGUGCCCUCCUGGUGGCUCCCCUGUGGUACUUCUUCCGCCAAGUAUUUUUUAUAAAAUACAAAAUAAUUCCUCGUUGAUUUUCACAGCUUUUGGAGUUGUGCAGAAUCGGUAUCUCAAACUUGCUCUUUUCAGACCAAAAUUCCAGCUGCCGGCAUUCUCCCUCUUCAUGUAAACCUUGUAAAAUAAGAGAGAAAAGGCAUAAGUAUUGUACCGUGAAGUGUAAUAACAGCCCAUAAAGCGAUAAAUACCAACAUAAAAGCAUGAUGCAAAAUGGACGUAUCAUGCAUCCCUAACAUUGCGAUUGUAUCCAUGUGGACAACCGGCGGCUUGUCGUGGUGGUUGUUGUUCGUGGUGCUGAACUAGAGCAACCUCUCUCUCAUCAUCAUAAUCCUUAUUGUGCUCAGCCAUAGAAACCUCGGCAGUAGCAGCAGGAGGAGCAGCAGCAAGAGCAGCAACAGCAUUAGUAGCAACAACACCAAAAUUAUGCACUUGUCUAACACACACACGUCACGCUCAUAGCUGUUGUGGUUGUGGUUGAAGAGGGACAGAAGCUGCAGCUGGUGGUGGUAAAUGCGCAAGCACCUCAUCGAACUUGGCGUUCAUCUUGGUGUCAAAUUUCUUCUCCAUACCUUCGAGAUUUCCAAGGCCUCGCCAAUGAUGGUCACGAAAUCCUGUACCUGGUCAGACAUCAUUUGCUGAAAUUUAUCAUGGAGCUCCCGGUUGGUCAGGUUCUCCCAGUCGAUCUCCCCGUCGUGUGAUCCUCGCAUGGUUAGCAGCAAUAGGAACACAGAAGAAUAUGAACCUACAGACUACUAGGAAGUGGUGGUGGUGGUGGUGUGUCACAAAUCCGUCAAGCAAAUCCCAAUUUCUUACCAAUUCUUACCUAGCAGGAGGUGGCGAUCGGCAAUCGGUGUAGUCAAAACUCUCAAAGCUUGGAUAGAGCGAUUGCGAGGUGGUGUCAAACACAUAAUGUGCUCGGAAGGCUUAUAAUAUGGUAGCAAGAAGGGUCAACAAUAAUCAGUUCAGAAAUGCAAAAUUGAAAGACGCUCAACAACGGUACUGUGCUGGUCCUAGGCUAGACCGUACUAGAGACGUGAGCCUAGAACACCAACGAAGUCACGAUGACACGUACUAAUCAAGGGAAGAGCCACUCUGAUUUUCCCCCCUCUUUUUUUGCGCUUUUAUUUUUUUACAAAAUCACUAUAAUGGUGAGUGUCUCAAAACUCUUCCCAAGGACAAAAAACAGGAUAGGCACGAAAAAAAUUGACAAUUUUUUUAAAUUUCUGGAGCAAUUUGGGGCUACGACGACCAAAAAUUGCGACAAAAAUCACUAUGAUGGCGAGUGUCUCAAAACUCUCUAAAAAGCCUAACAAAACGAUAGGGAUUAUUUUUCACCCCUCGAAAUUUUGACUUAAAAGUGCUCGGGAAAGCGUGCCAGACUUUUUUUUUGAUACCUACUCAGGUAAUGAAACGUGAAACCGAAAGCAAAAGGAUCUUGAAAUUAACCUAAGGCAGAAAGGAUUGUGGUGGAUAUAUGGUGGUGGUAUAUGGCAACAAGGAUAAUGGUGGCGUGGUGGUGGUAUAUGGCAGCAGCAAUGAUGGUAACGUGGAGGUGGUAUAUGGCAGCGAUGAAAGUUGGUGCAGUGGCGGCGUGACAACGUGUGAACAGAACUCGAAACUCUAAAGAACUACUCCCUCCGUUCCUAAAUAUAAGUCUUUCUAGAGUUUUAACUAAUGGACUACAUACGGAUGUAUAUAGACAUACUUUAGAGUAUAGAUUCAUUCAUUUUGCUCCGUAUGUAGACACCUAAUGAAAUAUCUUAAAAGACUUAUAUUUAGGUACGGAGGAAGUAGACACUAAGACCAGCAACUCGACACGAUGAUGUAACCGCAGUUUCAACAAAGCAAACUAUUGAAAAGACUAUGCAAAAGCUCACAUUGGUUCGGAUAUGAUGAUCUAACCCUAAUUUUUUUAAUGGCUUUUUCUUGGACUAUAGGUAUGAAGAUAGAUGCGAUUUAACCUGGAAAUCUCACCAACAACCUGGAAAUCUGAUACCACUUGAUAAAGGCGAAGUUGUCCCUAUCUUUCGAUGAGAUCGUGGGUAUCGUUUUGGUGGAGUAGACUUUGACGAUCCAAGUACGAACGUGUGAGGACGUCGCGCCUUAGCAAUCGCUAAACCAACUCCGAGAGGUUAUUGACCACGCCGGAGCACGAUCAACUUGACCACGAAGGUCUGUUUCCUGCACGCAAACGAAGAACAAGCAAGAAACUAAGAUGCAAUCAAGAUAUUACGAAUAUAAGUGGAAAGCUUUAUUGAUGAAGGUGGGGUUCUGUGACGCCUUUGUCUGGUCGUGGAACACAAACGAAGAACGCAAAGUUGCAGCUAUGGUGAACUUGUAAUCUAAACAAAACCCAAGUCUAAACGGUGCCCUAAGGGUUGUAUAUAUGAGGGAACAGAUAGGCAAUUUCGUGACUGAUACGUCUCCAACGUAUCUAUAAUUUUUGAUGGUUUCAUGCUAUUAUCUUGUCAAACUUUGGAUGUUUUGUAUGCCUUUUAUAUAUUUUUUGGGACUAACUUAUUAACCAAGUGCCAAGUGCCAGUUCCUGUUUUUUCCAUGUUUUUGACCCCUUUCAGAGGAGGAUUUUGAACGGAGUCCAAACGGAAUGAAACUGCCAAAACGAUUUUUUUUCGGAACAGAAAAAGAUCGGUGAGCUGGAGAAUCGAGGAAGGGGGCCACCAGGGACCCCACAAGCCCUCACGGCGCGGCCAGGGGGGGAGGCCGCGGUCUCUGGCUUGUGGGCUCCCUGAGGCUCCGUUGCCCUAGGUUUUGCGCCUAUAUAUUCCCAAAAAUUCCAUAAAAAUGAGGAGAUCAUCGAAAGUACUUUUCCGCCGCCGCAAGCUUCUGUCUCCGCAAGAUCCCAUCUGGGGCACGUUCUAGUGCCCUGCCAGAGGGGGGAUUCAGACACGGAGGGCUGCUUCAUCAACACCAUGACCUCUUCGAUGAUGCGUGAGUAGUUCACCAUAGACCUACGGGUCCAUAGCUAGUAGCUAGAUGGCUUCUUCUCUCUAUUGGAUCUUCAAUACAAAUUUCUCCAUGAUCUUCAUGGAGAUCUAUCCGAUGUAAUAUUCUUUUGCGGUGUGUUUGUCGAGAUCCGAUGAAUUGUGGAUUUAUGAUCCGAUUAUCUAUGAAUCUUUCUUCUGAUCUCUCUUAUGCAUGAUUUCAUAUCCUUGUAAUUCUCUUCGAGUUGUGGGUUUUGUUUGGCCAACUAGAUCUAUGAUUCUUGCAAUGGGAGAAGUGCUUGGUUUUGGGUUCAUACUGUGCGGUGACCUCACCCAGUGACAGAAGGGGUAGCGAGGCACGCAUCGUGUUGUUGCCAUCAAGGGUAAAAAGAUGGGGUUUUCAUCAUUGGUUUGAGAUCAUCCCUCUACAUCAUGUCAUCUUGCUUAAAGCAUUACUCUGUUCGUCAUGAACUCAAUACACUAGAUGCAUGAUGGAUAGCGGCCGAUGUGUGGAGUAAUAGUAGUAGAUGCAGAAAGUAUCGGUCUACUUGUCUCGGACGUGAUGCCUAUAUGUAUGAUCAUUCCCUUAGAUGUCGUCAUGACUUUGCACGUUUCUAUCAAUUGCUCGAAAGUAAUUUGUUCACCCACCGUGAUAUUUGCUAUUUUGAGAGAAGCCUCUAGUGAACACUAUGGCCCCCAGGUCUACUCCACACCAUAUUUUCAGCCUUACACUUUUUACUUCGUUGCACUUUCCGCCUUCAGAUCUCACUUUGCAAACAAUCUUGACGGGAUUGACAACCCCUUUAUAGCGUUGGGUGCAAGCUAUUUUGUGUUUGCGCAGGUACUCUGGACUUGACGAGAUUCUCCUACUAGAUUGAUACCUUGGUUCUCAAACUAAGGGAAAUACUUACUGCUCCUGUGCUGCAUCACCCUUUCCUCUUCAGGGGAAAAAGCAACGCAAGCUCAAGAGACGACAGAAGGAUCUCUGGCACCAUUGCCAGGGAAGUACUUUUGUUGAUGUAGCAGUGACCCUUGGAGGAGGGGUCUGAAAACAUCCCUAAACUCGGUUUCCCCACACAUACAUAGAGUGCGAAAAUCAUGAGUGGAAGCUCCAUUGUUCUCUCCCACGCGUGCAACUUCUUCUCCAUGCUUGAUCCCGCUCCAACGGAUAUCCUUCUUGUCCAUGCUAGGUCCUUCAUUCAUGAGCACAACAAAAGUAUCUAACUUAGGCAGCAUCAUAUGUUCAUGAACAUUAGAAGUAUUCCCAAGAAACGAAAGUACAUGGUAAUUCAAUUGGCAUGCACGAGCUCUAGUAACUGGUCUAGUAUGUAUAGCAGCUGGGGCUGUGGGUGUAACAAUGGUGUUGAUGUCCUCAUCAGCAUGCAUAUCCACAGUCACCCCCACGUUGUUUAGUCGUGUGCCCGAGCUCCGUCGGAACCUUCUUCCUCUUUUGGAUGAGAUACACCAUCGUGGAGGUCCUGAUUCGUUGCUAGCGACUUCUUCCUUGACUUCGAGCGUUGGAGAUCCUCAUCGUUGAUUCGCCGACCACAGCGCGUCCCCGGCCAUGUCGCCGAUGCCUACGCAUCCGUUGUGAACCCAUGGUUCAUCCCCCUUGCUUCCGCAUUCUUCUGCGCCGUCUAGUGAUACGUCUCCGUCGAUCUAGUUUUCCGAACUCUUUUGCCCUUGUUUUGGACUCUAAUUUACAUGAUUUGAAUGGAACUAACUGAUACGUCUCCAAUUUAUCUAUAAUUUUUAUGGUUCCAUGUUAUUAUCUUGUCAACUUUGGAUGUUUUAUAUGCGUGAAUAUGCUAUUUUAUAUCUUUUUUGGGAGUAACCUAUUAACUCAGUGCCAAGUGCCAGUUUCUGUUUUUUCCGUGUUUUUGGCCCAUUUUCAGACGGAGUCCAAAUGGAAUGAAACUUUACGAUGAUUUUUUUUGGACCAAAAGAGACCCCCGAAGCUUUGGAAGAAGGCUAGAAGAGCCACGAGGGACUCACAAGCCCUGACGCCGCCACCACCCCCCUAGGUGGCGCAUGGCAGGCUUGUGACCUCCUAGUGGGCCCAACCGACGUAAUUCCACCGCCAUAAAUUCCUAUAAAUUCAGAAACCUCCAGAAAGAAACCUAGAUCGAGAGUUCCGCUGCCGCAAGCCUCUGUAGCCACCAAAAACCAAUUUGGAGCCCGUUCCGGCACCCUGCCGGAGGGGGAAUCCAUCUCCGGUGGCCAUCUUCAUCAUCCCGGCGAUCUCCAUGAUGAGGAGGGAGUAGUUCUCCCUCGGGGUUGAGGGUAUGUACCAGUAGCUAUGUGUUUGAUCUCUCUCUCUCUCUCGUGUUCUUGAGAUGUCUUGAUCUCGAUGUACCAUGGGCUUUGCUACUAUAGUUGGAUCUUAUGAUGUUCUUCCCCCUCUCCCUCUUGUAAUUAAUUGAGUUUCCCCUUUGGAGUUAUCUUAUCGGAUUGAGUCUUUGAGAACACUUGAUGUAUGUCUUGCACGUGUCUAUCUGUUGUGAUCAACUUGCGGGUUGUGACAAUUGGGAACCUAUGCAUAUGGGUUGGCACACGUGGAUCCAUGUGAGUACUCAAUGUAUGGUUUGGUGAUCAACUUGCCGGUUCGUGACAUUAGGAACCUAUGCAUAGGGGUUGGCACACGUUUUGACUCUCNNNNNNNNNNNNNNNNNNNNNNNNNNNNNNNNNNNNNNNNNNNNNNNNNNNNNNNNNNNNNNNNNNNNNNNNNNNNNNNNNNNNNNNNNNNNNNNNNNNNACAGCGUGAAACCAUAAAAAAUUAUAGAUACGUUUGAGACAUAUCACCGGUCCACCCACAUAUCAAACUAUGAAAGUAGCGAACGCGAAUCAUAUGAAUAUAAUGAAAACUAGCUUGACAUAAUUUCCCAUGUGUCCUCAGGAGUGCUUUACCUCCUAUAAGAUUUGUCCAGGCUUGUCCCUUGCUACAAAAGGGAUUGGGCCACUUUGCUGCACCAUUGUUACUUUUGUUACUUGCUACUUGAUGCGAAUCAUCUUGUCACACAACUACUUGUUACCGAUAAUUUCAGUGCUUGCAGAGAUUACCUUGUUGAAAACCACUUGUCAGAUCCUUAUGAUCCUCGUUGGGUUCGACACUCUUACGUAUCGAAAGGACUACGAUAGAUCCCCUAUACUUGUGGGUCAUCACAAAACAACUUCACGAGUGAGAUAAGUAUUACGAACACGAGUUAUUUCACAUAACCUCAAGAGCUCGAUCAAGGAUGGAGGUAAAAGGUGAAGGUAGGGUUGAAGAAAAUUCUCUUCCUCAGUUUCUUCCUUGUUGAGCACAGAUUGCCCUUCGUCCAACGCCGGAUUCUUCUCCUUACGUUUGCCCUUAGUUUCUUUAGGCAGCCUUUCCUUGGCCUCCAUGACCUGCAUUCUUUUCAGAUCAGCAUUUACUUCUUCAUAGACUUGAGGGAGAUCGUUCUCCCCCACAGACUCUUGAGACGACAUCUUGCUCUAAAUUUGCGGCAGAAAACAGGCUCGAAACGAAAACAGAGGAAAAUUGCGUGAUACGAGGGUCAGACCUUUCGGGAGAAUAUAUAAUGAAUUUUUUCGACCAGAAGGAGUACUCUGCAAGAAAACGGAGUCCCGGAGGCACACGAGGUGGUCACAAGCCCCCCAGGCACGGCCAGGGGGGUGGCCCGCACCUGGCAGGCUUGUCGCCUCCUCGUGCGCUUAUCCGCACUGCUUUAAAUUUUUCUAUUUUUCUAAAAAAUCCAAAACGGAGGAAAAAUCCUACUGGAAAAGUUUUCGAGUCGGUUUACUUACCGAAUCACAUACCUCUUCGUUUUUUGAGUCUGAAACAGGCUCAUAAAUAUCCCUUAGAUACUCCUUCGGAGUUAUGGUAUUGAUAAUAUUGCUUUCAACAUUUAUGGGAGUACCUGAGAUAUAAUGCUUGAUUCUCUGCCCAUUUACCACUCUUGGAAAAUUACCUUCCGUGUUGUUGAUCUUGAUGGCACCAAAACGAUAUACUUCCUCAACAAUGUAAGGACCUUCCCGUUUAGAGAGAAGCUUGCGUGCAAAAAAUAUUAAACGAGAAUUAUAUAGCAAGACAUGAUCACCUACAUUGAACUCACGUUUCUGUAUCCUUUUAUCAUGCCACCUCUUAACCUUUUCUUUGAACAACUUGNNNNNNNNNNCUCUCCAUUCAUCAAGCGAGCUAAUAUCAAAUAACCUCUUCUCACCAGCAAGUUUGAAAUCAAAGUUGAGCUCUUUGAUUGCCCAAUAAGCCUUAUGCUCUAGCUCAAGAGGUAAAUGACAUGCUUUGCCAUAAACCAUUUUGUACGGAGACAUGCCCAUGGGAUUCUUAUAAGCAGUUUUAUAAGCCCACAAUGCAUCAUCGAGCUUCUUAGACCAAUUCUUCCUAGACCUAUUAACAGUAUUUUGCAGAAUUAAUUUAAUAUCUCUAUUGCUUAGUUCUACUUGACCACUAGACUAAGGGUGAUAGGGAUGCAAUUCUAUGAUUGACAUUGUACUUAACGAGCAUUUUAUGGAAAGCGCCAUGAAUGAAAUGUGAACCACCAUGAGUCAUUAGAUAUCUAGGGACUCCAAAUCUAGGGAAAAUAACUUCUUUAAGCAUCCUGAUAGAGGUGUUGUGAUCAACACUACUAGUUGGGAUAGCUUCUACCCACUUAGUAACGUAAUUAACAACAACUAGGAUAUGAGUAUACCCGUUGGAUUUUGGAAAAUGUCCCAUAUAAUCAAAACCCCAAACAUCAAAUGGUUCAAUGACAAGUGAAUAAUUCAUAGGAAUUUCCUGACGUUUACCGAUAUUACCUAUUCUUUGACAUUCCUCACAAGACAAGACAAACUUACGGGCAUCCUUGAAGAGAGUGGGCCAAUAGAAACCUGAUUGCAAUACCUUGUGUGCAGUUCUAUCUUCCGCAUGGUGUCCUCCGUAAGCCUCAGAGUGACACUUCUGUAGGAUUUGUCCCGGUUCAUGUUCAGGUACAUAAUGUCUAAUAACACCAUCUACUCCUUGCUUAUAAAGGUGAGGAUCAUCCCAGAAGUAAUGUCUCAAAUCAAAGAAGAAUUUCUUCUUUUGCUGGUAUGUGAAACUAGGUGGUAUAUAUUAGGCAAUGACAUAAUUUGCAUAAUCAGCAUACCAUGGUGUACUACGUGAAGUGUUGAUGACAUUUAAUUGCUCAUCAGGAAAGCUAUCAUCAAUAGGUUGUAGGUCAUCAAGAACAUUCUCCAACCUAGACAAGUUAUCUGCUACGGGGUUAUCAGCAACCUUCCUGUCGACAACAUGCAAAUCAAAUUCUUGUAGCAAGAACCCAUCUGAUAAGUCUAGGUUUAGCGUAUUUCUUUUCCAUGAGGUACUUAAUAGGAGCGAGUGUGAAUAGUGACUUUGGAAUCAACUAUGUAAGAUCUGAACUUUUCACAUGCAAACACUGUUGGGGAACGUCGCAUGGGAAACAAAAAAAUUCCUACGCGCACGAAAACCUAUCAUGGUGAUGUCCAUCUACGAGAGGGGAUGUUCGAUCUACGUACCCUUGUAGACCGCACAACACAAGCGUUAGUGAACGCGAUUGGUGUAGUGGAACGUCCUCACGUCCCUCGAUCCGCCCCGCGAACCGUCCUGCGAUCAGUCCCACGAUCUAGUGCCGAACAGACGGCACCUCCGCGUUCAGCACACGUACAGCUCGACGAUGAUCUCGGNNNNNNNNNNUGAUCUCGUCUCAGCAGGGCUCCGCCCGAGCUCUGCAAAAACGCGAUCUAGAGGAAAAACCGUGGAGGUAUGUGGCCGGGCUGCCGUGGAAAAGUCGUCUCAANNNNNNNNNNAGAGAGGUAGAUGAGUUCUCCAGCAGCGUGACGGCGCUCCGGAGGUUGGUGGUGAUCUAAUAUCAGCAGGGCUCCGCCCGAGCUCCGCAGAAACGCGAUCUAGAGGUAAANNNNNNNNNNUGCACAGCAGAAGCGUUAGUGAACGCGGUUGACGUAGUGGAACAUCCUCACGUCCCUCGAUCCGCCCCACGAACCGUCCCUCGAUCAGUCCCACGAUCUAGUGCCGACCGGACGGCACCUCUGCGUUCAACACACGUACAGCUCGACGAUGAUCCCGGCCUUCUUGAUCCAGCAAGAGAGACGGAGAGGUAGAUGAGUUCUCCGGCAGCGUGACGGCGCUCCGAAGGUUGGUGGUGAUCUAAUCUCAGCAGGGCUCCGCCCGAGCUCCGCAGAAACGCGAUCUAGAGGUAAAACCGUGGAGAUAUGUGGUCGGGCUGCCGUGGCAAAGUUGUCUCAAAUCAGCCCUAAAACCUCCGUAUAUGUAGGGGGAAGAGGGGGGGCCUUGCCUUGGGGUCCAAGGACCCCCAAGGACUUCGUCCGAGCCAAGGGGGGCAACCCUCCCCUUCCAAACCGAGUCCAACUAGGNNNNNNNNNNUGACUUGGCCGGGCUGCCGUGGAAAAGUCGUCUCAAAUCAGCCCUAAAACCUCCGUAUAUAUAGGUGAGAGAGGGGGGCCUUGCCUUGGGGCUCAAGGAGCCCCAAUGGGGUCGGCCGAGCCAAGGGGGGAAGGUCUACCCCCCCCCCCAAACCGAGUUGGACUUGGUUUGGNNNNNNNNNNAUAGGGGGAGAGGGGGAGCCUUGCCUUGGGGUCCAAGGACUCCCAAGGACUUCGGCCGAGCCAAGNNNNNNNNNNGGGAGGAGGAGGAGACUUGCCUUGGGGUCCAAGGACCCCCAAGGACUUCGGCCGAGCCAAGGGGGGCAACCCUCCCCUUCCAAACNNNNNNNNNNNNNNNNNNNNNNNNNNNNNNNNNACCUCCUUUUUUUUCUUUCUCUUUGAUUUUUCUUCCAAUGCGCAUAGGGCCCUUUUGGGCUGUCCCACCAGCCCACUAAGGACUGGUGCGCCACCCUCAAGGCCUAUGGGCUUCCCCGGGGUGGGUUGCCCCCCCCCCCCCCNNNNNNNNNNUUUCUCUUUGAUUUAUUCCUAUGGCGCAUAGGGCCUUCUUGGGCUGUCCCACCAGCCCACUAAGGGCUGGUGCGCCACCCCCAAGGCCUAUGGGCUUCCCCGGGGUGGGUUGUCCCCCCGAUGAACACCCGGAACCCAUUCGUCAUUCCCGGUACAUUCCCGGUAACUCCGAAAACCUUCCGGUAAUCAAAUGAGGUCAUCCUAUAUAUCAAUCUUCGUUUCCGGACCAUUCCGGAAACCCUCAUGACGUCAUUGAUCUCAUCCGAGACUCCGAACAACAUUCGGUAACCAACCAUAUAACUCAAAUACGCAUANNNNNNNNNNCUUCCAGACCAUUCCGGAAACCCUCGUGACGUCUGUGAUCUCAUCCGGGACUCCGAACAACAUUCGGUAACCAACCAUAUAANNNNNNNNNNGUGACGUCCGUGAUCUCAUCCGGGACUCCGAACAACAUUCGGUAACCAACCAUAUAACUCAAAUACGCAUAAAACAACGUCGAACCUUAAGUGUGCAGACCCUGCGGGUUCGAGAACUAUGUAGACAUGACCCAAGAGACUCCUUGGUCAAUAUCCAAUAGCGGGACCUGGAUGCCCAUAUUGGAUCCUACAUAUUCUACGAAGAUCUUAUCGUUUGAACCUCAGUGCCAAGGAUUCAUAUAAUCCNNNNNNNNNNAUCGGUCAAUAUCCAAUAGCGGGACUUGGAUGCCCAUAUUGGAUCCUACAUAUUCAACGAAGAUCUUAUCGUUUGAACCUCAGUGCCAAGGAUUCAUAUAAUCCCGUAUGUCAUUCCCUUUGUCCUUCGGUAUGUUACUUGCCCGAGAUUCGAUCGUCAGUAUCCCCAUACCUAUUUCAAUCUCGUUUACCGGUAAGUCUCUUUACUCGUUCUGUAAUACAAGAUCCCGCAACUUACACUAAGUUACAUUGCUUGCAAGGCNNNNNNNNNNAUCAGUAUCCGCAUACCUAUUUCAAUCUAGUUUACCGGCAAGUCUCUUUACUCGUUCCGUAAUACAAGAUCCCGCAACUUACACUNNNNNNNNNNAACCUAUUUCAAUCUCGUUUACCCGCAAGUCUCUUUACUCGUUCCGUAAUACAAGAUCCCGCAACUUACACUAAGUUACAUUGCUUGCAAGGCUUGUGUGUGAUGUUGUAUUACCGAGUGGGCCCCGAGAUACCUCUCCGUCACACGGAGUGACAAAUCCCAGUCUUGAUCCAUACUAACUCAACGAACACCUUCGGAGAUACCUGUAGAGCAUCUUUAUAGUCACCCAGUUACGUUGCAACGUUUGAUACACACAAAGCAUUCCUCCGGUGUCAGUGAGUUAUAUGAUCUCAUGGUCAUAGGAACAANNNNNNNNNNUAGUUAUGUUGCGACGUUUGAUACACACAAAGUAUUCCUCUGGUGUUAGUGAGUUAUAUGAUCUCAUGGUCAUAGGAACAAAUACUUGACACGCAGAAAACAGUAGCAACAAAAUGACAUGAUCAACAUGCUACGUUUAUUAGUUUGGGUCUAGUCCAUCACGUGAUUCUUCUAAUGACGUGAUCCAGUUAUCAAACAACAACACCUUGUUCAUAAUCAGAAGACACUGAUUAUCUUUGAUCAACUGGCUAGCCAACUAGAGGCUUGCUAGGGACNNNNNNNNNNUUAUUAGUUUGGGUCUGGUCCAUCACGUGAUUCUCCUAAUGACGUGAUCUAGUUAUCAAACAACAACACCUUGUUCAUAAUCAGAAGACAUUGAUUAUCUUUGAUCAACUGGCUAGCCAACUAGAGGCUUGCUAGGGACNNNNNNNNNNUAUAAUCAGAAGACACUGACUAUCUUUGAUCAACUGGCUAGCCAACUAGAGGCUUGCUAGGGACAGUGUUUUGUCUAUGUAUCCACACAUGUAAAUGAGUCUUCAUUCAAUACAAUUAUAGCAUGGAUAAUAAACGAUUAUCUUGAUACAGGAAUUAUAAUAAUAACUAUAUUUAUUAUUGCCUCUAGGGCAUAAUUCCAACAAACACGACUGCUAAAAAUUCCUUUUUAGUAGUAGCAUAGUUUCUUUGGGCACUCUCUAGAGUUUUACUAGCAUAGUGAAUAACAUUCAACUUCUUAUCAACUNNNNNNNNNNGAGGUGGUUGAACAAUAGGUGCAGUUAUCAAGGCCUUCUUAAGUAUUUCGAAGGCUUCCUCACAAUCAUCGUCAAAAACAAAAGGAAUAUCCUUUUGCAAGAGAUUGGUAAGAGACAUAGAAAUCUUAGAGUAGUCUUUAAUGAACCUCCUAUAGAAACCAACAUGACCUAGGAAACUUCUUAUACCUUUGAUAUCUGUGGGGUAUGGCAUUUUCUCGAUUGCAUCAACCUUAGCCUUAUCGACUUNNNNNNNNNNNNNNNNNNNNNNNNNNNNNNNNNNNNNNNNNNNNNNNNNNNNNNNNNNNNNNNNNNNNNNNNNNNNNNNNNNNNNNNNNNNNNNNNNNNNAAAUUCAAGACAAGAUUGGUGUCCUUACAUCUCUGCAAGACACGAUCAAUGUUGCUGAGGCAAUCAUCAAAAGAAGACCCGUAGACGGAGAAGUCAUCCAUGAAAACCUCAACAAUCUUUUCACAAAAGUCAGAGAAUAUAGCCAUCAUACAUCUUUGAAAGGUAGCAGGUGCAUUACACAAGCCAAAAAGCAUACGUCUAUAAGCAAAGGUACUGAAAGGGCAGGUGAAAGUGGUUUUGCCUGAUCAGCUUGUGCAACUGGUAUUUGGGAGAAACCAGAAUAACCGUCUAGAAAGCAGAAGUGUGUGUGUUUAGACAGUCUUUCUAGCAUUUGGUCAAUAAAAGGCAAAGGGUAAUGAUCUUUCCUAGUGGCUUUAUUCAAUUUCNNNNNNNNNNAGUGACGCAAUGCACCGGACUCACCCAAUCACUAUGAGCAACAGGAUAGAUAAUACCUGCUUCGAGGAGCUUUAGUAUUUCUUUUCUUACUACCUCUUUCAUCUUAGGAUUUNNNNNNNNNNCCUAUAGCCAGUAUUAAUCCUCUGUGGGAUCAAUUCAUCCUUAUCAUUAGGGACAACGGUAAUACCUCCCUUCUUUGGGAUGCAAUGCACCGGACUCACCCAAUCACUAUGAGCAACAUGAUAGAUAAUACCUACUUCCAGGAGCUUUAGUAUUUCUUUUCUUACUACCUCUUUCAUCUUAGGAUUUNNNNNNNNNNNNNNNNNNNNNNNNNNNNNNNNNNNNNNNNNNNNNNNNNNNNNNNNNNNNNNNNNNNNNNNNNNNNNNNNNNNNNNNNNNNNNNNNNNNNGCUUCUCUUAGUUUUGUCAAUUCCGUGUUUACUGCCUCCUAGUUUUCCGGUGUGAUGGGGGUCGCCAUGAGCCUUGUAAUUUCCGCUGCUAAUUCCACCAAGACAGCGGCCGGGCUUCUAGAUGUCUCGCCAGUUCCCACCCCGCGUGUCGGGUUUGGCAAGGGUUGAGUUGCCCCAGCCAUGUAAAUGGCGAUCUGACGGCAGGUUCGGUCAAGGACUUCGGGGUCCAUGGCCAGUGACAAGCCCCCAAGACAAUACCCAUGUAGGGACUGGAUUGAAUCCGAAUCGCCCAUGGACGACUCGUCAUCAGUGUUGACCGGUGUGGUUUCCUGGGUCGCUGAGUGUUCUGGUUCCUCCGAUCCCUGCGUGAAUCCAACAAAGACCGGGUGAGUUAGAUUUGGCGUCACCAUUGGGCGGACGUACCUGACCGGCUCGACGAUGUCGGUGGAGAUGUCCGGCUCGGGCAUGGAUGAUCCAAUCAUGCCGAUGAAGACGCUGAUCUUGCCGAAGGGGACCCUGUAACCAGAUUCGAUCGAAUCCGCCUCGGGCCCCCAUAGCAGGUUGUUGAUGUAGUACUUUCCACGGCGGCUCCGAGUCAUGAGCCCCGUCACGUAGCUCCCAAACCCUGGUAGGGCUCCCUUUGAGAACUCAACUCCACCGUGCGCAGGCCCCACGGUGGGCGCCAACUGUCGUGGUUUUGUCACGGCAGAUGUCCUCGUGAAAGGACUUAGUAUUGGAGCCAUCACACCUUGGUGGCGACUCAAAGGGGUUGAACGGGAGUGAGACGGCGAUUUACCCAGGUUCGGCCCCUCGUGAGGAGGUAAAAGCCUACGUCCUGCUUUCUGUUGUAUUGAUGGAGUUUUGAUUACAAGGAGGGCGUAACUCGCCAGACCUAGCACUUGAUGAUUUCUAACCUACCCUAUUCUUCCCUCGGACUCGCCUUUAUAUACAGGUCGAGUCCCUAGGGUUUACAAGGGUAUUUUCCUUUCUACAAACCGUGACUCUUACGAUCUCUAAGUCGCCAUCUUUCCAAAGCUUGGAGACCUUCCGGAAGUUGUAAACCGCCAAACAACCUUCGGUCUCGCCAGGCCAAGGCCCGAACCAUAUUUUAGAUGAAUCGCCAGAUUUGGUGACCCGACCCAACUAGGGCGGGUUAUCAAUAGAUAAUAUCCCUAACAUUAGGCCCCAGAUUGACUUGAAUUUUCUUCACGCCAAUAUCCUUACUCAAUUAAGGGCGAUUCAUUUUUCAUCCUCUUUUAUACGCCAUGAACUUAACCCGCCAUCUGUUGUGGAAAACUUAAGUCACCAAACCAUUUCUUGUUGGUACCUUCUUAUCCCUUGAAUUCCGAAAAAGAUAAUGACGUAAUCCCAACGGAUCCUUCGGUAUCGUUAUCCCAAAAAUUUCGGAGCGCCAUCAUGGCGAAUCUUUAUCUUUUGGUGGUUCCCGCUCAUGGCACCUCGAUUCCAGUGCCUGCCCUCUUAAAUAGGUGGGGGAAAGGACUGGGCGCAUUCCACCUACCAGUCUUGUCGCCCUUCUCCCCAUUAUCGCAGCGAAAACCCUCAUCGUCUUCCGAGAGCUCCGCCACCACCCGUGGUUCUCGCCGUCAUCCGAAAGCAUUGGUGCCGCCCGAAGACCUUGUCACCGUCAAGCACUUCGCCGUGGCCGAGCAGUUCGCCGUUAUCGACCGUCUCCAGCCGAAUCCACCAGGUUAGGUUUCUGUUAUUCAAGAGCAGAUCCCAGCUCUCUUUCGAAGUUCAUCACUGCCAUGUUCUUGGCGCUUCCCGAAUAGUUGUUACUUGUUCCUGAUUAAUCGAUGGCGACGAUGACGAGAAAAUCAAUGUCUUUGAUACCUUUAUCCGUCCGCCCUCGAUUUGCACAUUUAGAGUAGGACUUCACCAAAUCAAUAGUAUUAUCCCAUCUUAGUCGCAGGUUGCCGUAUCUGGUCAUUUUCCGUGUUCAUUUCUAUCUGUCCAGUAGAUCCAUAAUCUACCGCUUGUUAUGUGAAAACUGUUUGUAGUCUUCAUACUUCGCCAUUUUUGGAUAAAUACCUCUGAUGCCUUGAAACACUGCUCCCUUAAGUAGCCAAAGUUUCAUAAGUCGCCCUGGCAACCUCACCCGGGCCUUCGUUGGCGGAUCAAAUAAUUUCCUCAGCCAGCGGGCAAAUUAUUUGGGGACCCAAAUGAAAUCGUUUCACCUCUUUCAGUAGAUGUUUUUGGCAUGUCAAUUCACCCGUACUUUAUCCCUUUGUAGCAUGGGCACCGUUUUCAAAAGUGACUGGCUCCCCACCAAGGUUAAUGAUGCCAUACUAGAGGAUUAUGUGAAAACGUGAAAUUUGGACCCUCAGGAUGUUAUCGGUUGGCGCACCGAGUUCGGAGAAGAAGUCCCCAAUCCCAAAGAAGGGGAAAUAGUUGUUUUCGUUGAACACCUUGAGCGAGGUUUUUAGCCGCCUAGAUCGAAGUUCCUCAGAGACGCCAUGGCUUUUAUGAAUGUCCGCCUCCAAGAUCUAGGGCCCAACUUGAUAAGCAACCUAUGCCAGUUCCACGUGUUUUGUGAGGCUUACUUGCGGAUGGAACCCUCAGUUCCCUUAUUCUGGUAUUUCUUCCACUUAAAUCGCCAAACAGAAUUUCACAAUGGCCCCAGCCUGGAGCUUGGCGGUGUAAAUGUUCAGCGCCGCAGGGAUAGCCCAUUUCCGUCACUCGCCAUGCGAAGCCACCCCAAAGGCUGGGGCGAGUCUUGGUUCUAUUGUCAAGAGACCUCGCCUGAGGGUGAAAACAAACUUCUGGGUUAUAGGGAAGAUCGCCUUCCAACGAAUUUCAAACUCCCAGACAAGCUCACCGAAGAGGAGGAGUCAGAUUUUAUCCCAGUAUUGUCCGAGUUAAGAUCUUUGACAAACAACGGCCUUACUGGAGUUGACUUGAUCCGCUGCUGGGUCGAAUGGCGCAUCCUCCCUUUAAGUCGCCGGGACGGGUUAAUGUGUGAAUUCGACGGCACUCUAGAUCAUCCUCAGUGCUACUUCCACACGGCUCUGACAGAAAGUGACAUUGUCACCAUCAUCAAGAAGCUGACCGGCGAGCCCGCGGGAAAAUGCGGCCAAAUAGGUCUCAAACCUUUCUGCAAGAUUAACCCGACACCUAAGGUAAACAACUUUAACCCACCUUUUGUAUUUUACUUCUUAUGUCUCAUUUGAACUAUGACCUCUUAUAAAAUAUGCCAUUUCAGAAAGGUGAUAAAUUUUAGUCCAAGAGGCCAAAAAAGUCAGCCAUGAAGUAAGCUAGGCCGCCUGGAGGCGAGUUAUGAGAUGGAGAAAAGCCUGCUUCGGAUGCUGAAAAACAAACAUGAGGUACGUUUUGUUGUAUACUAUAUUAUCCCCAUUAACCCCCAAGGGUCGGGUCAUCAGUAAAAAUAUGAGCCGGGUCUUGAUGACCUGAAAAACUUUCGACCAGUAACCCCCAAGGGCCGGGUCAUCAGUAAAANNNNNNNNNNCUGAAAAACUUUCGACCAGUAAUCCCCAAGGGCCGGGUCAUCAGUAAAAAGAUGAGCCGGGUCUUGAUGACUUGAAAAACUUUCGACCAGUAACCCCCAAGGGCCGGGUCAUCAGUAAAAAGAUGAGUCGGGUCUUGAUGCUGUAUAAUUUUGUCUGGAAAAAUUAUAAAUUAGCCCCCAAGUGUCAGGAAUGUUGCUUGCAAUAGUUCCGAGACUUGCCCCUUAACCAUAUGAUUCAACAGGAAUCUCUUAUCCAGACUGAAUCAGCACUUGGCGACUUGAAGAAAAGCUUAUCUGAUUAGCAAGAUGCCCGGGCCAAAUCAGAGGAGAAGUAUGAACUGGUCUUAGCUGAGAUGGAAAAGCUAAAAGCCGACUUAAAAAGGGCUCAAGCUGACCAAGAUGUUUUAACAAAGCGAGCAGAAAAGGCUGAAGCCAAGUUGGAUACUGUGCAACAAGAGCUGUCCGGCUUAAAACGACAUAUCUCAAACAUGGCGCAAGCCGUCUUUGGUAAAAAAAACUAACUCUUGACCUUUGUAAACAAAUAACUUUUAUCUGAGUCGCUGAUUAUCAUUACCCCUUAUACAGGCCCGAGAGCCGCCAACCUUCAGGAUGAUUGCGUCCUGACGCUGAAGACGAUUUACACGCUGACGGAGCAGCUAUAUACCGGAAGUGUACUGACUGUGAAAGCGGUGAUGGGCGCCAAGGAGCCUAUAACAUCAAUAAAGAAGAUGCUUGGCUGCCUAUCCACUCUUCCUCCCCAAAUUGGCGAGUUAACUCGGUCAGACGCCCAGAAANNNNNNNNNNNNNNNNNNNNNNNNNNNNNNNNNNNNNNNNNNNNNNNNNNNNNNNNNNNNNNNNNNNNNNNNNNNNNNNNNNNNNNNNNNNNNNNNNNNNAUAGGCCCAAUGGGUAAUAAAAUUGAUCUCAAUGAGAGGAAGCCCCCAAGUCGGGAGGCGUUUUAAUUUUAUUGCUUUAUAAGCACUGAAAAACUUACAAAAUACAGAUCUUAAGAGCUCAAGUGUAAUAAGGCCGCAAGUGGGCAAUAUUCCAGGGGCGAGUCGACUCAGCCUCCGUGGUUGGCCGGUUAGGCCGGAGAUCCACCAGAUAGUAAGAGCCGUUGUGAAGAUUUUUGCUGACGACGAAUGGUCCUUCCCAUGGUGGUGAUAACUUAUGCAUGCCAGCACGAUCCUGUAUCAGCCGAAGCACUAAGUCGCCUUCCUGAAAAGUUCGGCUCUUGACCCGGCGGCUGUGAUAACGCCGUAAAUCCUGCUGAUAAAUGGCCGAUCAGGCCGCAGCCAAGUCACGCGCCUCCUCUAAGGCGUCCAAAGAGUCUCGAUGCGCCAGUUCGUUGUCCUGUUCCACAUAAGUGGUGACUCUAGGUGAGUCAUGCCUUAUGUCAGUGGGAAGAACAGCUUGUGCUCCAUAGACCAGAAAGAAAGGGGUAAAACCCGUGGACCGGUUCGGGGUGGUCCGGAUGCUCCAUAGCACUGAAGGCAACUCCUCAACCCAACAUCCCGGGUUUUUUUCCAAGGGAACCACGANNNNNNNNNNNNNNNNNNNNNNNNNNNNNNNNNNNNNNNNNNNNNNNNNNNNNNNNNNNNNNNNNNNNNNNNNNNNNNNNNNNNNNNNNNNNNNNNNNNNUGCUGCUCGGACUUGGACCUGGACGCCUGCUAGGUUUGUGCUGCCCUCCGACUUUCUGGCCCGUCAGGCCCGAAAUGAAGUUCUGAGUGGGCCUUAAUUGGGCGGCGGCCAGUGGAUACACGCAAUCGCAACAGAGGUCGGAAAGAACUUCCCUAAAAAGAAUGUUCGGAACGACGAUGAUCGUGACAGCAUAAGAGCAUCUAGAAUAGUAGAUCCGGCUGCCGGCUGUAAGCUCAUGCCAUAUCACCUAUAAUCCAUCUUAAUAACUAAUAUGUAUAAUAGUUGGUUAGAAAAGUGUAUUACUUAUUUAUUAUAUGACCCACCUUUCAUUCUCACGAAGUGCCUAGGAGCACGUGCUAGAGUUGGCUCUUAACUAAGAGCCCGCUUACCUUCUCUCUCCUCUUCUCUCCUCCAACUAAGCAAAAAUAUACUACUUUAUUCUUUAUAGCCAGCUCACUCAACUCUAUUGUACUUGCUCUAAGCAGAUACGUGUUGCUCCGUUGGUGUCCAAUCGAUGAUCCUCGUGCUAGUCGUGAACAGCUGAAACCUGCACCUCAACCUCGGCCAGUGAUAGCCGGAAACCGGUGGCGGAGUCAGCUCAAUGUGAUAGCCUGGAGAACAUAUGAAGGCUCCUAAUGGUCGGAAGUUAUUUUGUGAUUUGUCCACGGAAAAGCUGAAUUUUCUUCAUCCUUGUCAUUAUUUUAAGAAAGAGAUUGCAAGCUGAGCCUGGACAACUGCCGAGGAUAGGUGGGCGAUGGCUCCGUCACUACCGGAAACAUACAUCGAGAACAAUCUGACAGGUCCUCCCGGCUGGACUGUUGACAGACAAACGCAUGCAUCCUCAACAUCGGGGGUGACUACCGUAGCUCAUGUCAAAGAAGAUCCGACCGACAACGCGAUAUAUAAGACAAUAGAUGAAUGUUUUUGCACCCACUGAAACCCCAAACACCUAGAAGGGACCCCGUCAAGGAGUGCGACGGUUAUAAACUGCCCUAGGUCGAUUCGCUCGUUCCUAUAUCCUUGGGAUUCGCAUUCAAAGAACAACGAAAAACGAGAGAGAAAAACAAUGAUGACAUAAAACGUAGAUGAAAAACUAGUAUAGAUUGAUAUGUUCGAUUGUGUGUUAUUCAAUCGGCCGACAUCUCUUACAAAUAUAUGAGACGGUUGGACUUUCCGUACAAAAAAAAGACUCAAAUCCUGUCUAAAACAUUAAAAGUUAACCUAACUCCGAUUACGAGGGCCGGAACUUCCGAUCGGCCUGGAAAUUCCGGGCUAAAAUUACGACGAGUAGCCUUGUUAUACUGAUUCUGUAGGUCGCAUAUGACUUCAGAUCACGAUGGUCCCAAAAGCAAAAUUGUAGAGUUUGAAACGCAGAGUAUUUCGUUAAUUGAACACUUCUUCAUAUGAGGCCAUGUUGAAGUUGAAUUUGGGUUCUCAAAACUGCAAAAAAAAAAUCCAGUUUUCGGGGCCUAUCGCGCGCAAACUUUCGGUUUAGUCCGGAACCUUCCCGGAACUUGCCCGGAACUUCCGAGGCAAACUUCUACAACCCAAUGUUUCAGCUGUAGCUUUUGCAUGUGAACUCAAAUUUAGAUAAUUUUUAUGUCAAAAUCGAUAACCUCGACGAGUCGAAGAUAGUUCAUGUAGAACAUUUUCUGAUACGAGGCCAUCUUGGAGGCAUAAUUGGCCGAACAGUACUGUGCUUAUGAAAUCUUAAUACUUUGAGCAUGAUUUUGACCUUCGAGAUGAGGUCGGAUGACGAUGACCGAAACUUCAAAAUAGUUUAUGUCAAUACUAUGGAACCUUUUCAUAUAGAGCACUUCUUUAUUUUAAGCCAUGUUGGUUGUGUUUUCUUUCAUGCCAAAAUCUGAUGUCAACAUAUGCCCUUCUGUUUUUCGAGAAAGCCUGCGUGCCGGAAAAAUAACUCACAUAAUGCUUUUUGUAAGGACGAUGUCAACACUCCAUCAACCAUUUUUUAUGCUUAGGACGAUAAGUAUAUAUCGACCAUCUUUACUCUUAGGGCGAUAAUUGUGUAACGACCAUGUUUUAUGCUAAGGGCGAUAAUCAUAUAUCAGCCAUUGCUUACUUAAGCUUCUUUCCACACAUUUGGGUGGUAUUUUUUCAGAUAUUUGCCAUUAAGAGCUCGAGGUAGCAUUGUACNNNNNNNNNNNNNNNNNNNNNNNNNNNNNNNNNNNNNNNNNNNNNNNNNNNNNNNNNNNNNNNNNNNNNNNNNNNNNNNNNNNNNNNNNNNNNNNNNNNNAUCGUUUAUUAUCCAUGCUAUAAUUGUAUUGAAUGAAGACUCAUUUACAUGUGUGGAUACAUGGACAAAACACUGUCCCUAGCAAGCCUCUAGUUGGCUAGCCAGUUGAUCAAAGAUAAUCAGUGUCUUCUGAUUAUGAACAAGGUGUUGUUUUUUGAUAACUGGAUCACGUCAUUAGAAGAAUCACGUGAUGGACUAGACCCAAACUAAUAAACGUAAGCAUGUUGAUCAUGUCAUUUUGUUGCUACUGUUUUCUGCGUGUCAAGUAUUUGUUCCUAUGACCAUGAGAUCAUAUAACUCACUAACACCAGAGGAAUACUUUGUGUGUAUCAAACGUCGCAACAUAACUAGGUGACUAUAAAGAUGCUCUACAGGUAUCUCCGAAGGUGUUCGUUGAGUUAGUAUGGAUCAAGACUGGGAUUUGUCACUCCGUGUGACGGAGAGGUAUCGUCGGGGCCCACUCGGUAAUACAACAUCACACACAAGCCUUGCAAGCAAUGUAACUUAGUGUAAGUUGCGGGAUCUUGUAUUACAGAACGAGUAAAGAGACUUACCGGUAAACGAGAUUGAAAUAGGUAUGGGGAUACUGACGAUCGAAUCUCGGGCAAGUAACAUACCGAAGGACAAAGGGAAUGACAUACGGGAUUAUAUGAAUCCUUGGCACUGAGGUUCAAACGAUAAGAUCUUCGUAGAAUAUGUAGGAUCCAAUAUGGGCAUCCAGGUCCCGCUAUUGGAUAUUGACCGAGGAGUCUCUCGGGUCAUGUCUACAUAGUUCUCGAACCCGCAGGGUCUGCACACUUAAGGUUCGACGUUGUUUUAUGCGUAUUUGAGUUAUAUGGUUGGUUACCGAAUGUUGUUCGGAGUCCCGGAUGAGAUCACAGACGUCACGAGGGUUUCCGGAAUGGUCUGGAAGCGAAGAUUAGAUAUAUAGGAUGACCUCAUUUGAUUACCGGUAAGGUUUUCGGAGGUUACCGGGAAUGUACCGGGAAUGACGAAUGGGUUCCGGGUGUUCACCGGGGGGGGGGGGGGGCAACCCACCCAGGGGAACCCAUAGGCCUUGGGGGUGGCGCACCAGCCCUUAGUGGGCUGGUGGGACAGCCCAAGAAGGCCCUAUGCGCCAUAGGAAGAAAAUCAAAGAGAAAAAAAGGGAGGUGGGAAAAGGGGGAAGGACUCCUCCUUCCAAACCUAGUUGGACUCGGUUUGGAAGGGGAGGGUUGCCCCCCUUGGCUCGGCCGAAGUCCUUGGGGGUCCUUGGACCCCAAGGCAAGUCUCCUCCUCCUCCCCCUAUAUAUACGGAGGUUUUAGGGCUGAUUUGACACAACUUUGCCACGGCAGCCCGACCACAUAUCUCCACGGUUUGACCUCUAGAUCGCGUUUCUGCGGAGCUCGGGCGGAGCCCUGCCGAGACAAGAUCAUCACCAACCUCCGGAGUGCCGUCACGCUGCCGGAGAACUCUUCUACCUCUCCGUCUCUCUUGCUGGAUCAAGAAGGCCGAGAUCAUCGUCGAGCUGUACGUGUGCUGAACGCGGAGGUGCUGUCCGUUCGGCACUAGAUCGUGGGACUGAUCGCGGGACGGUUCGCGGGGCGGAUCGAGGGACGUGAGCACGUUCCACUACAUCAACCGCGUUUCUUAACGCUUCUGCUGUGCGAUCUACAAGGGUACGUAGAUCGGAAAUCCCCUCUCGUAGAUGGACAUCACCAUGAUAGGUCUUCGUGCGCGUAGGAAAUUUUUUGUUUCCCAUGGGAUGUUCCCCAACAAGACCGGGUUAGCCAACCAUUUGGGGUGAAAUACGAUGAAUCCGGCGGCCAAGAGACGGGCAACUUUUUCCCCAAUUGCCUUGCGUCGUUCCUCGUUAAACCUACGAAGAUACUGCUGGAUAGGUUUUGCCUUUGGGUCAACAUUAAGAUGGUGCUCAGCGAAUUCUCUCGGCACACCAGGCAUGUCAGAAGGUUUCCAUGUGAAGAUGUCCCGAUUCUCGCGGAUGAAUUCGAUGAGCGCGCUUUCCUAUUUGGGAUCCAGACCCGUCCCAAUGGUGAACUGCUUGGUUGAAUCGCCAGGAACGAAAUCUAACCGUUUUUGUGUCAUCCGUUGGUUUGAACUUGAGGGGUGGCUCCGCAUCUGUCGUUGGCUUUUUAAGGGUGACAUGUCAGCCGGAUCAACAUUGGCCCGAUGAUAUUUGAGCUCCUCUGUAGCGCAGGCGACUUCCGCAUAAGCCGCGUCCCCUUCUUCACAUUCCCUUGCAAUCCUUCUAUCACCCUCAAUCGUGAUGGGUCCCUUAGGACCAGGCAUCUUGAGUUCAAGGUAAACAUAGCAUGGGCGAGCCAUGGAACCGGGCGUAAGCCGGCCGCCCAAACAGCGCAUGGUAGGGGCUUUUCAAUUUGAUCACCUCAAANNNNNNNNNNNNNNNNNNNNNNNNNNNNNNNNNNNNNNNNNNNNNNNNNNNNNNNNNNNNNNNNNNNNNNNNNNNNNNNNNNNNNNNNNNNNNNNNNNNNUUGGCCUGUCCAGCCACGAGAAUUGGCCGGCCUCCGUCCUCCAGCCCGGCCGGGGUGGCAUCCUAGCCGGCCAGAAGACUUAGGCAUUGGGGAACUGUAWUUUUUUCUAUUAUCCUUUUGGGGCAGGAAAUGAAGGAGCAGGCUUGAUGAGCCUACCCCGGGGUUAUCCCCCCAACAUUUAUUCAUGGCAAUGAUCAUCACAUAUAGGCAUCACGUCCGUCAGCAAGUAGACCGACUCAUGCCUACAUCUAUCACUAUUACUCCACUCAUUGACCACUAUCCAGCAUGCCUCUAGAGUAUUAAGUAAAACAAAGUAAUGUUGUAAGGUAAAUUACAUGAUAUAGACAAAGUAUACUCAACUAAUAUGAAUAAACCCCAUCAUUUUAUCCUUAGUAGCAGCAAUACAAAUACAUGUCAUGUCCCUUUCUGUCACUAGGAUUGGACACCACAAGAUUGAACCCAUUAUAAUGCACUACUCCCGCUGAAGAUAAAUCAAUCUAGUUGGCCAAACCAACCCGAUAGAUCAGAGAGAACUAGAAAGCUAUCAUAGUUAUGCGUAUAAGAAUUCAGAGAUAACUCAAAUACUUUUCAUAAAUAAUCUGACCACAAACUCAUGAUACUUGUGAUCUACGUUGGGUUUUUCAUGAAAAGGAACAUGUUAUCGCAACACAGUGUGGAUAAGUAUUUCACUUAGUUAUAAAACCAAGGUUUACCGAACCAAUAGAAAUAUCAACAACAACCGUCUUUAGCGGCUACACACAAAAGAACAAACAACUUGCACCCAACGCGGGCAAGAGGGUUGUCAAUCCCCUUGGUCUCGUUAUUUGCAAGCAAGUGAUAUGUGUAGAUAAUUGGAAAUUUCAAAAUAAAAUGAAAACAAGUAAAUGGCGGCAAAGUAUUAAAGUUUUGUAAAUAUAUGGUGAAUAGACCCGGGGGCCAUAGUUUUCCCUUGUGGCAUCUCUCAUGAAAACAUCAUACGGUGGGUAAACAAAUUACUGUUGGGCAAUUGAUAGGAAAGCGGAUAGUUAUGCGAUAUUCACGGCAAUGAUCAUGUGUAUAUAUGCAUCACAUCCAUAAACAUAAUAGGUCGACUCGUGACAACACCUAUUACUAUUACUCCACUCAUCGACCGCUAUCCAGCAUGCAUCUAGAGUAUUAAAUAAAACAGAGUAAUGCAUGGAGAACGAUGACAUGAUGUAGACAAAGUAAACUCGGGCAAUAUGAAGAAACCCCAUCGUGUUAUCCUCAAUAGUAGAAACACAAAGAUGCAUCUUGUCCCCUUCAGUUUGUAGCAAUGGCCAAGGUGUUGGUAUUGUUUACAUUUCUCCUCAUGGUGUUGUUUUUGAAGCCUCGCGUCGCUUAGAAUUAUUUUUGCAACAAAAAAUCAGGCCAAAUAUGAAGCAUUCUUAUUUCGAUAGAAAUGUUGUUGGCUAUAGGUGCUACACAUAUUGAGGCUUUUGGUGAUUCGCUAUUAGUGGUACAACAAAUAUCCAGAGUUUUCCAAUGUUUUGAUGAAUCACUUAAUGUUUACCUUGAUAAAUGUCUAGAUAUUAUUUCUGCUUUGGAUUGUUUUAGCAUUGCUCAUAUAUGUAGACAUGAUAAUUGGUGAGCAAAUAAUUUGGCACAACCAGCAUCCAGCUAUCAUGUUGAUCAUGGCAUGUUUCAUAUUUCUCAAUAGCCGAUGUCUAGCUUUGCCAACAUAGGAUAGGUCGAACCAGAACACACCACUUCAGCCACUAACAAAAAAUCUAGUGCAGUUAGAAAAAACUAGACUCAAGGAAGCCCGUUAUUGAUUACUUGUGUGAUCAGAGUGAAAGGGUNNNNNNNNNNNNNNNNNNNNNNNNNNNNNNNNNNNNNNNNNNNNNNNNNNNNNNNNNNNNNNNNNNNNNNNNNNNNNNNNNNNNNNNNNNNNNNNNNNNNUCAACUGGCUAGCCAMCUAAGAGGCUUGCUAGGGACAGUGUUUUGUCUAUGUAUCCACACAUGUAAAUGAGUCUUCAUUCAAUACAAUUAUAGCAUGGAUAAUAAACGAUUAUCUUGAUACAGGAAUUAUAAUAAUAACUAUAUUUAUUAUUGCCUCUAGGGCAUAAUUCCAACAGUCUCCCACUUGCACUAGAGUCAAUAAUCUAGCCCUCACAUCAUCAUGCGAAUUACAUUGUAAUAAAUCUAACACCCAUACAGUUCUGGUGUUGAUCAUGCUUUACCCGUGGAAGAGGUUUAGUCAGCGGGUCUGCUACAUUCAGAUCCGUGUGCACUUUGCAUAUAUUUACGUGCUCCCCUUCGACGUAGUCGCGGAUGAGGUUGAAGCGUCGUUUGAUGUGUCUGGACUUCUUGUGAAACCGUGGUUCCUUUGCUAGGGCAAUGGCACCGGUGUUGUCACAGAACAAGGUUAUUGGAUUCAGUGCGCUUGGCACCACUCCAAGAUCCGUCAUGAAUUGCUUCAUCCAGACACCCUCCUUAGCCGCCUCCGAGGCAGCCAUGUACUCCGCUUCACAUGUAGAAUCUGCUACGACCCUCUGCUUGGAACUGCACCAGCUUACCGCACCCCCAUUAAGAAUAAAUACGUAUCCGGUUUGCGACUUAGAGUCGUCCAGAUAUGUGCCAAAGCUUGCAUCGACGUAACCUUUUACGGCGAGCUCUUCGUCACCUCCAUACACGAGAAACAUCUCCUUAGUCCUUUUCAGGUACUUCAGGAUAUUCUUGACCGCCGUCCAAUGAUCCACUCCUGGAUUACUCUGGAACCUACCUGCCAUACUUAUGGCCAGGCUAACGUCCGGUCUAGUGCACAACAUUGCAUACAUGAUAGUACCUAUGGCUGAAGCAUAGGGGACGGUGCUCAUAUGCUCUAUAUCCUCAUCAGUUGAUGGGCACUGAGUCUUACUCAAUCUCGUACCUUGUAAAACUGGCAAGAACCCUUUCUUGGAUUGUUCCAUUUUGAACCUCUUCAAAACUUUAUCAAGGUAUGUGCUUUGUGAAAGUCCUAUGAGGCGUUUUGAUCUAUCCCUGUAGAUCUUAAUGCCUAGAAUGUAAGCAGCUUCUCCUAGGUCCUUCAUAGAGAAACUUUUAUUCAAGUAAUCCUUUAUGCUCUCCAAAAACUCUACGUUGUUUCCAAUCAGCAAUAUGUCAUCCACAUAUAAUAUUAGAAACAACACAGAGCUCCCACUCACUUUCUUGUAAAUACAAGAUUCUCCAACCACUUGUAUAAACCCAAAUGCUUUGAUCACCUCAUCAAAGCGUUUGUUCCAACUCCGAGAUGCUUGCACCAGUCCAUAAAUGGAUCGCUGGAGCUUGCACACUUUGUUAGCAUUCUUAGGAUCCACAAAACCUUCGGGUUGCAUCAUAUACAACUCUUCCUUAAGGAAACCGUUAAGGAACGCCGUUUUGACAUCCAUCUGCCAGAUUUCAUAAUCGAAAAAUGCAGCUAUUGCUAACAUGAUUCUGACGGACUUAAGCAUCGCUACGGGUGAGAAUGUCUCAUCGUAGUCAACUCCUUGAACUUGUGAAAAACCCUUUGCCACAAGUCGAGCUUUAUAAAUGGUCACAUUGCCGUCAGCGUCCGUCUUCCUCUUAAAGAUCCAUUUGUUCUGAAUAGCCUUGCGGCCCUCAGGUAGUACUUCCAAAGUCCACACUUUGUUCUCAUACAUGGAUCCUAUCUCGGAUUUCAUGGCUUCUAGCCAUUUGUUGGAAUCUGGGCCCACCAUCGCUUCUUCAUAAUUUGCAGGUUCAUUGUUGUCCAACAACAUGAUUGACAAGACGGGAUUACCGUACCACUCUGGAGCAGCACGUGGUCUCGUCGACCUGCGUGGUUCGACAGAAACUUGAAACGGAGUUUCAUGAUCAUCAUCAUUAACUUCCUCCUCAACCGGCGUCGCAAUGACAGAGGUUUCCCCUUGCCCUGCGCCACCAUCUAGAGGGAUGAGAGGUUCGACAACCUCAUCAAGUUCUAUCUUCCUCCCACUCAAUUCUCUCGAGAGAAACUCCUUCUCGAGAAAAGCUCCGUUUUUAGCAACAAACACUUUGCCCUCGGAUUUGAGAUAGAAUGUGUACCCAACUGUCUCUUUUGGGUAACCUAUGAAGAUGCACUUUUUCGCUUUGGGUUCCAGCUUUUCAAGUUGAAGCUUUUUGACAUAAGCCUCACAUCCCCAAACUUUAAGAAACGACAACUUUGGCCUUUUGCCAUACCACAGUUUGUAUGGUGUUGUCUCAACCGAUUUUGAUGGUGCCCUAUUUAAAGUGAAUGCAACUGUUUCUAAUGCAUAACCCCAAAACGAUAACGGCAAAUCGGUAAGAGACAUCAUAGAUCGCACCAUCUCUAAUAAAGUACGAUUACGACGUUCGGACACACCAUUACGCUGUGGUGUUCCAGGCGGUGUCAACUGUGAAACAAUUCCACAUUGUCUUAAGUGAGCACCAAACUCGAAACUCAGAUAUUCACCCCCACGAUCAGACCGUAGGAACUUGAUCUUCUUGUUACGAUGAUUUUCAACUUCACUCUGAAAUUGCUUGAACUUUUCAAAUGUUUCAGACUUGUGCUUCAUCAAGUAGACAUAACCAUAUCUACUCAAAUCAUCAGUGAAGGUGAGAAAAUAACGAUAUCCGCCGCGUGCCUCCACGCUCAUCGGACCACACACAUCGGUAUGUAUGAUUUCCAACAAGUCACUUGCAUGCUCCAUUGUUCCGGAGAACGGAGUCUUAGUCAUCUUGCCCAUGAGGCAUGGUUCGCAUCUGUCAAGUGAAUCAAAGUCAAGUGACUCCAAAAGUCCAUCAACAUGGAGUUUCUUCAUGCGCUUUACACCAAUAUGACCUAAGCGGCAGUGCCACAAAAAUAUGGCGCUAUCAUUGUUAACUCUAACUAUUUUGGUCUCAAUGUUAUGUAUGUGUGUAUUGCUAUCAAGAUUCAAUAUGAACAAUCCUCUCACAUUGGGUGCAUGACCAUAAAAGAUGUUACUCAUAGAAAUAGAAGAACCAUUAUUCUCUGACUUAAAAGAGUAACCGUCUCGCAAUAAACAAGAUCCGGAUAUAAUGUUCAUGCUCAACGCAGGCACUAAAUAACAAUGAUUUAAGUUCAUAACUAAUCCCAAUGGUAACUGAAGUGAAACUGUGCCGACGGCGAUUGCGUCAACCUUGGAACCAUUUCCUACGCGCAUCGUCACUUCAUCUUUCGCCAGCCUUCGUCUAUUCCGCAGUUCCUGUUUCGAGUUGCAAAUAUGAGCAACAGAACCGGUAUCGAAUACACAGGCACUACUACGAGAGUCGGUCAAGUACACAUCAAUAACAUGUAUAUCAAAUAUACCUGAUUUUUCUUUGGCCGCCUUCUUAUUUGCCACAUACUUGGGGCAAUUGCGCUUCCAGUGACCCAUACCCUUGCAAUAGUAACACUCCGUUUCAGGCUUAGGUCCAGCUUUGGGUUUCUUCGUCGGAUUGGCAACAGGCUUGCCGCUCUUCUUUGAAUUACCCUUCUUGCCUUUGCCGUUUCUCUUGAAACUAGUGGUCUUAUUCACCAUCAACACUUGAUGCUCUUUACGGAGUUCAGACUCUGCGACUUUCAGCAUCGCAAACAACUCGCUGGGAGACUUGUUCAUCCCUUGCAUGUUGUAGUUCAACACAAAGCCUUUAUAGCUUGGCGGCAGUGAUUGAAGGAUUCUGUCAGUGAUAGCCUCUUGCGGGAGUUCAAUCCCCAGCUCAGCUAGACGGUUUGAGUAUCCAGACAUUUUGAGCACAUGUUCACUGACAGACGAGUUUUCCUCCAUCUUGCAAGCAUAGAAUUUAUCGGAGGUCUCAUACCUCUCGAUCCGGGCGUUCUUCUGAAAGAUAAAUUUCAACUCCUGGAACAUCUCAAAUGCUCCAUGACGCUCAAAGCGACGUUGAAGUCCCGGUUCUAAGCCAUACAAGACUGCACAUUGAACUACUGAGUAGUCCUCCUUACGUGCUAACCAAGCGUUCUUAACAUCCUGAUCAGCCGUAGCGGGUGGUUCAUCUCCUAGCGCGGCAAUAAGGACAUAAUCCUUCUUCCCAGCUUGUAAGAUUAGCUUAAGAUUACGAGCCCAGUCUACAAAGUUGCUUCCAUCAUCUUUCAGCUUAGCUUUCUCUAGGAACGUAUUAAAAUUCAGGGUGAGUGUCGCGUGAGCCAUGAUCUACAACACAAAUAUAUUCAAAGUGGACUUAGACUAUGUUCAAGAUAAUUAGAGUUUAACUUAAUCAAAUUAUUCGCUAAACUCCCACUCAAAAAGUACAUCUCUCUAGUCAUUUGAGUGGUUCGUGAUCCACUUACACUAGCUCAAGUCCGAUCAUCACGUGAGUUGAGUAUAGUUUCAGUGGUAAGCAUCCCUAUGCUAAUCAUAUCAUCUAUAUGAUUCAUGAUCGACCUUUCGGUCUCAUGUGUUCCGAGGCCAUGUCUGCACAUGCUAGGCUCGUCAAGCUUAACCCGAGUGUUCCGCGUGCGCAACUGUUUUGCACCCGUUGUAUGUGAACGUUGAGUCUAUCACACCCGAUCAUCACGUGGUGUCUCGAAACGACGAACUGUAGCAACGGUGCACAGUCGGGGAGAACACAAUUUCGUCUUGAAAUUUUAGUGAGAGAUCACCUCAUAAUGCUACCGUCGUUCUAAGCAAAAUAAGGUGCAUAAAAGGAUUAACAUCACAUGCAAUUCAUAAGUGACAUGAUAUGGCCAUCAUCACGUGCUCCUUGAUCUCCGUCACCAAAGCACCGGCACGAUCUUCUUGUCACCGGCGCCACACCAUGAUCUCCAUCAACGUGUCGCCAUCGGGGUUGUCGUGCUACUCAUGCUAUUACUACUAAAGCUACAUCCUAGCAAAAUAGUAAACGCAUCUACAAGCACAAACGUUAGUAUAAAGACAACCCUAUGGCUCCUGCCGGUUGCCGUACCAUCGACGUGCAAGUCGAUAUUAUCUAUUACAACAUGAUCAUCUCAUACAUCCAAUAUAUCACAUCACAUCGUUGGCCAUAUCACAUCACAAGCAUACCCUGCAAAAACAAGUUAGACGUCCUCUAAUUUUGUUGUUGCAUGUUUUACGUGGUGACCAUGGGUAUCUAGUAGGAUCGCAUCUUACUUACGCAAACACCACAACGGAGAUAUAUGAGUUGCUAUGAACCUCAUCCAAGGACCUCCUCGGUCAAAUUCGAUUCAACUAAAGUUGGAGAAACUAACACUUGCCAGUCAUCUUUGAGCAACGGGGUUACUCGUAGCGAUGAAACCAGUCUCUCGUAAGCGUACGAGUAAUGUCGGUCCAAGCCGCUUCAAUCCAACAAUACCGCGGAAUCAAGAAAAGACUAAGGAGGGCAGCAAAACGCACAUCACCGCCCACAAAAACUUUUGUGUUCUACUCGAGAAGACAUCUACGCAUGAACCUAGCUCAUGAUGCCACUGUUGGGGAACGUCGCAUGGGAAACAAAAAAAUUCCUACGCGCACGAAAACCUAUCAUGGUGAUGUCCAUCUACGAGAGGGGAUGUUCGAUCUACGUACCCUUGUAGACUGCACAGCAGAAGCGUUAGUGAACGCGGUUGACGUAGUGGAACAUCCUCACGUCCCUCGAUCCGCCCCACGAACCGUCCCUCGAUCAGUCCCACGAUCUAGUGCCGACCGGACGGCACCUCUGCGUUCAACACACGUACAGCUCGACGAUGAUCCCGGCCUUCUUGAUCCAGCAAGAGAGACGGAGAGGUAGAUGAGUUCUCCGGCAGCGUGACGGCGCUCCGAAGGUUGGUGGUGAUCUAAUCUCAGCAGGGCUCCGCCCGAGCUCCGCAGAAACGCGAUCUAGAGGUAAAACCGUGGAGAUAUGUGGUCGGGCUGCCGUGGCAAAGUUGUCUCAAAUCAGCCCUAAAACCUCCGUAUAUGUAGGGGGGAAGAGGGGGGGGCCUUGCCUUGGGGUCCAAGGACCCCCAAGGACUUCGUCCGAGCCAAGGGGGGCAACCCUCCCCUUCCAAACCGAGUCCAACUAGGUUUGGAAGGAGGAGUCCUUCCCCCUUUUCCCACCUCCUCUUUUUUUCUUUUCUCUUUGAUUUAUUCCUAUGGCGCAUAGGGCCUUCUUGGGCUGUCCCACCAGCCCACUAAGGGCUGGUGCGCCACCCCCAAGGCCUAUGGGCUUCCCCGGGGUGGGUUGUCCCCCCGAUGAACACCCGGAACCCAUUCGUCAUUCCCGGUACAUUCCCGGUAACUCCGAAAACCUUCCGGUAAUCAAAUGAGGUCAUCCUAUAUAUCAAUCUUCGCUUCCAGACCAUUCCGGAAACCCUCGUGACGUCUGUGAUCUCAUCCGGGACUCCGAACAACAUUCGGUAAACAACCAUAUAACUCAAAUACGCAUAAAACAACGUCGNNNNNNNNNNNNNNNNNNNNNNNNNNNNNNNNNNNNNNNNNNNNNNNNNNNNNNNNNNNNNNNNNNNNNNNNNNNNNNNNNNNNNNNNNNNNNNNNNNNNGGGGUUAAGUCNUAAUGGGAUGCUUGUCCAUAAGGGCAGUACCCAAGCGCUGGUCCAUCCACAUAUCAAACUAUCAAAGUAGCGAACGUGAAUCAUAUGAACAUUAUGAAAACUAGCUUGACAGAAUUUCCCAUGUGUCCUCGGGAGCGCUUUACCUCAUAUAAGACUUUGCCCAGGCUUGUCCCUUGCUACAAUAUGGAUUGGGCCAAUUUGUUGCACCGUUUCUACUUUUGCUACUUGCUACUUGCUACGAAUCAUCUUGCCACACAACUACUUGUUACCAUUAAUUUCAAUGCUUGCAGAUAUCACCUUACUGAAAACCACUUGUCAGAUCCUUCUACUCCUUGUUAGGUUCGACACUCUUACUUAUCGAAAGGACUAUGAUAGAUCCCCUAUACUUGUGGGUCAUCACGGUAAUCAAGGCCUUCUUAAGUAUUUCAAAGUCUUCCUCACAAUCAUCAUAAAAAAAAUGAAUAUCCUUUUGCAAGAGAUUGGUAAGAGGCCUAGAAAUCUUAGAAAAGUCCUUAAUGUACCUUCUAUAGAAACCAGCAUGACCAAGGAAACUUCUUAUACCUUUGAUAUCUGUAGGGCAUGGCAUUUUCUCGAUCGCAUCAACCUAAGCCUUAUCGACUUCAAUACCUCUUUCAGAAAUUUUAUGUCCUAAGACGAUGCCUUCAUUAACCAUAAAGUGGCACUUCUCCCAAUUAAAGACAAGAUUGGUAUCUUUACAUCUCUGCAAAACUCUAUCAAGGUUGCUGAGGCAAUCAUCAAAAGAAGACCCGUAAACGGAGAAGUCAUCCAUGAAAACCUCAACAAUCUCUUCACAAAAGUAAGAGAAUAUAGCCAUCAUAUGUCUUUGAAAGGUAGCAGGUGCAUUACAUAAGCCAAAAGGCAUACGUAUGUAAGCAAAGGUAUCGAAAGGGCAGGUGAAAGUGGUUUUCUCCUCAUCAGUUUGUGCAACAGGUAUUUGGGAGAAACCAAAAUAACCAUCUAGAAAGCAGAAGGGUGUGUGUUUAGAAAAUCUUUCUACAUUUGGUCAAUGAAAGUCAAAGGGUAAUGAUCUUCCCUAGUGGCUUUAUUCAAUUUCCUAAAAUCAAUCACCAUCCUAUAGCUAGUAAUAAUCCUCUGUGGGAUCAAUUCAUCUUUGUCAUUAGGGACAACGGUAAUACCUCCCUUCUUAGGGACGCAAUGCACGAGACUCACCCAAUCACUAUGACCAACAGGAUAGAUAAUACCUGCUUCUAGGAGAUUUAGUAUUUCUUUUCUUACUACCUCUUUCAUCUUAGGAUUUAAUCUCCUUUGAUGAUCAGCAACUGGUUUGGAAUCAGGAUCAACUUUAAUUUUGUGCUGGCAUAGAGUGGGACUAAUGCCCUUAAGAUCGUCAAGAGUAUAUCCAAUAGCAGCACGGUGCUUCCUCAGAGUUUUAAUUAACUUACUUUUCUUUCUAUGCUCUGAAAGUACUAGCACUAAUUAUAACACGAUAUAUAUAUAUAUAUAUAUUUCAUCGAUAUAAGCAUACUUAAGAGUAUCAGGUAACUGCUUAAGCUCAAACAGAGGAUCAACCUUUGGUGGGGGUGGAUCUCCAAGCAGUUCAACAAGUAAAUUAUUCUUAAGGAUAGGAUGUUGUUCAAAGAUAACUCUAUCUAUCUCAUUCCUUUCAUCCAUAUGCAUAUCAUUUUCAUGCUCAAGCAAGUAUUGCUCUAAAGGAUCAGUAGGAGGCACAGCAAUAGAAGCUAGAGCAAUAAUUUCAUAUUUACUAGACAACUCUUUUUCAUGAGGUUGUCUACCAAACUUGGAGAAAUUGAACUCAUGUGACACUCCUUCAAAGCCAACAGUGACAGUUUGCUUCUCACAGUCAAUAUGAGCAUUGCAGUAUUAAGAAAAGGUACUGCCAAAUAUGAUGGGACAAAAGCUAUCUUGUGUGGUAGCAAGAACGAGGAAAUCAACAGGAUACUUCGUUUUACCACACAAGACUUCAACAUGUCUAACAAUUCCCACAGGGCAGAUAGUUUCUCUAUUGGUAAGCUGAAUAGUGACAUCAAUAGGUUCCAUCUCGACCAGUGCAAUCUCGUCUUUAAUUUCAUCAUAUAAGGAUUUAGGUAUUGCACUAACACUAGCACCCACGUCACAUAGACCAUGAUAAAAAUGAUCUCCUAUCUUAACAGAAACAACAAGUGUGCCAACAAUCGGCCUAUGUUUGUCUCUAGCAUGAGGUUUAGCUAUUCUAGAAGCAUCUUCACAUAAGUGAAUAUCAUGUCCCUCAACAUUGUCGGACAGGAGAUCUUUGAUAAUAGCAAUGCUAGGUUCAACUCUAAUUUCCUCAGGGGGUGUAGGUGUUCUAAUGUAGCCCCUAUGUAUCAUAUUUGAAGCUUUAGAAUGAUCCUUUAUCCUAACAAGGAAAGGUGGUUUCUCAAUGUAAGCACUAGGAACAAUAGGAUCAUUAUAAGCAAUGACUUUCUCUUCAACUGGAUUGGGUUUAACUACGUUGACUUCUAAGGGAGGAUGAUAUUUAAACCACUUCUCUUUAGGGAGAUCAAUAUGAGCAGCAAAUGAUUCACACAAUGAAGCUACUAUCUCAGAGUCAAGUCCAUAUUUAGCGCUAAAAUCACAAAAAGUAUUUGUUUCGACAAAGGAUUUCACGCAAUCAAACUUGAAAUUCAUACCCGACUCUUUACCUUCAUCAAACUCUCAAUCUUCAGAGUUGCGUUUAAUUCUUUCCAAUAAAUUCAAUUUGAAGUCAAUAUCUCUCUUCAUAAAAGAACCGGUACAAGAAGUGUCAAGCAUGGUGCGAUCAUCAUGAGAAAGCCGAGCAUAGAAGUUUUGAAUGAUAAUUUCUCUCGAGAGCUCAUGGUUGGGGCAUGCAUAUAACAUUGAUUUAAGCCUCCCCCAAGCUUGAGCGAUGCUUUCUCUGUCACGAGGCCAAAAAUUAUAAAUAUAAUUCCGAUCACGAUGUACUAGAUGCAUAGGAUAAAACUUUUGAUGAAAUUCCAAUUUCAACCGGUUGUAGUUCCAUGAUCCAGUAUCAUCACAUAGCCUAUACCAUGUCAAUGCUUUAUCCCUCAAAGAUAAGGGAAAGACCUUCUUCUUGACCUCAUCCUCGGGCAAACCUGCAAGCUUAAAUAAACCACAAACUUCAUCUACAUAGAUUAGAUGCAAGUCGGGAUGUGAUGUUCCGUCUCCUGUAAAAGGAUUAGCCAGCAUUUUCUCAAGCAUCCCCGAAGGAAAUUCAUAGCAAAUAUUUUCAGUAGGUGCAGAAGGUUGAGGAGAAACUCCUUGUGCUUCCGUUCGAGGUGAAUAUACCCCGAACAAGCUCCUCAAAGGAUUAGUUUCCAUAGUGACAAGUGACAAUAAAUUUCAGCACACUAUAUAAAUGUUUCCUUACAAAAUUCCACUUACCGAAGACUCUUCACUCCCCGGCAACAGCGCCAGAAAAGAGUCAUGAUCACCCAAAAGUGUAGGGGAUCUAUCAUAGUCCUUUCGAUAUGUAAGAGUGUCGAACCCAACGAGGAGCACAAGGAUCUGGCAAGUGGUUUUCAACAAGGUAUUCUCUGCAAGCACUGAAAUUAUCGGUAACAGAUAGUUGUGUGAUAAGAUCAUUCAUAGCAAGUAGCAAGUAACAAUAGUAAAAAAGGUGCAGCAAGAUGGCCCAAUCCCUUUUGUAUCAAGGGACAAGCCUGGACGAACUCUUAUAGGAGGUGAAGCGCUCCCGAGGACACAUGGGAAUUUUGUCAAGCUAGUUUUCAUCAUGUUCAUAUGAUUCGCGUUCGCUACUUUAAUAGUUUGAUAUGGUGGGUGGACCGGUGCUUGGGUGCUGCCCUUACUUGGACAAACAUCCCAAUUAUGAUUAACCCCUCUCGCAAGCAUCCUCAACUACGAAAGAAGAAUUAAGACAAAGUCUAACCAUAGCAUUAAACUAGUGGAUCCAAAUCAGCCCCUUACGAAGCAACGCAUAAACUAGGGUUUAAGCUUAUGUCACUCUAGCAACCCAUCAUCUACUUAUUACUUCUCAAUGCCUUCCUCUAGGCCCAAAUAAUGGUGAAGUGUUAUGUAGUCGACGUUCACAUAACACCACUAGAGUAGAGACAACAUACAACACAUCAAAAUAUCGAACGAAUACCAAAUUCACAUGACUACUUAGAGCAAGACUUAUCACAUGUCCUCAGGAACAAAAGUGGCUACUCACAAAGCAUAAUUAUGUUCAUGAUCAGAGAGGUAUUUAAUAGCAUCAAUGAUGUGAACAGAUAAUAUUCCACCGAGUAAUCCAACUAGCAUCAACUACAAAGAGUAAUUAACACUACUAGCAACCUUACAGGUACCAAUCGGAGUCGCAAGACGGAGAUUGGUCACAAGAGAUGAACUACGGUUUGGACAUGAGUUGGUGUUGAUGAAGAUGUUGAUGGUGAUGAGUCCCCUCCGACGAGAGGAGUGUUGGUGAUGACGAUGGCGACGAUUUCCCCCUCUCGGAGGGAAGUUUCCCCGGCAGGAUGGCCGUGCCGGAGCUUUAGAUUGGUUCUGCUCAAGUUCCGCCUCGUGGCGGCGGCGAUUCCUCCCGAAGGCCUCCUCCUGAUUUUUUAUGGAACGUAACCCUCCUUAUAACAAAAGAUAGGAGCGAGAGGGGCAACAGGGGGCCCACAAGCCCCCUAGGCGCGGCUAGGGGGGUAGGUCGCGCCUAGCAGGCUUGUGCCCUCCUGGUGGCUCCCCUGUGGUACUUCUUCCGCCAAGUAUUUUUUAUAAAAUACAAAAUAAUUCCUCGUUGAUUUUCACAGCUUUUGGAGUUGUGCAGAAUCGGUAUCUCAAACUUGCUCUUUUCAGACCAAAAUUCCAGCUGCCGGCAUUCUCCCUCUUCAUGUAAACCUUGUAAAAUAAGAGAGAAAAGGCAUAAGUAUUGUACCGUGAAGUGUAAUAACAGCCCAUAAAGCGAUAAAUACCAACAUAAAAGCAUGAUGCAAAAUGGACGUAUCAUGCAUCCCUAACAUUGCGAUUGUAUCCAUGUGGACAACCGGCGGCUUGUCGUGGUGGUUGUUGUUCGUGGUGCUGAACUAGAGCAACCUCUCUCUCAUCAUCAUAAUCCUUAUUGUGCUCAGCCAUAGAAACCUCGGCAGUAGCAGCAGGGAGGAGCAGCAGCAAGAGCAGCAACAGCAUUAGUAGCGAACAACACCAAAAUUAUGCACUUGUCUAACACACACACGUCACGCUCAUAGCUGUUGUGGUUGUGGUUGAAGAGGGACAGAAGCUGCAGCUGGUGGUGGUAAAUGCGCAAGCACCUCAUCGAACUUGGCGUUCAUCUUGGUGUCAAAUUUCUUCUCCAUACCUUCGAGAUUUCCAAGGCCUCGCCAAUGAUGGUCACGAAAUCCUGUACCUGGUCAGACAUCAUUUGCUGAAAUUUAUCAUGGAGCUCCCGGUUGGUCAGGUUCUCCCAGUCGAUCUCCCCGUCGUGUGAUCCUCGCAUGGUUAGCAGCAAUAGGAACACAGAAGAAUAUGAACCUACAGACUACUAGGAAGUGGUGGUGGUGGUGGUGUGUCACAAAUCCGUCAAGCAAAUCCCAAUUUCUUACCAAUUCUUACCUAGCAGGAGGUGGCGAUCGGCAAUCGGUGUAGUCAAAACUCUCAAAGCUUGGAUAGAGCGAUUGCGAGGUGGUGUCAAACACAUAAUGUGCUCGGAAGGCUUAUAAUAUGGUAGCAAGAAGGGUCAACAAUAAUCAGUUCAGAAAUGCAAAAUUGAAAGACGCUCAACAACGGUACUGUGCUGGUCCUAGGCUAGACCGUACUAGAGACGUGAGCCUAGAACACCAACGAAGUCACGAUGACACGUACUAAUCAAGGGAAGAGCCACUCUGAUUUUCCCCCCUCUUUUUUUGCGCUUUUAUUUUUUUACAAAAUCACUAUAAUGGUGAGUGUCUCAAAACUCUUCCCAAGGACAAAAAACAGGAUAGGCACGAAAAAAAUUGACAAUUUUUUUAAAUUUCUGGAGCAAUUUGGGGCUACGACGACCAAAAAUUGCGACAAAAAUCACUAUGAUGGCGAGUGUCUCAAAACUCUCUAAAAAGCCUAACAAAACGAUAGGGAUUAUUUUUCACCCCUCGAAAUUUUGACUUAAAAGUGCUCGGGAAAGCGUGCCAGACUUUUUUUUUGAUACCUACUCAGGUAAUGAAACGUGAAACCGAAAGCAAAAGGAUCUUGAAAUUAACCUAAGGCAGAAAGGAUUGUGGUGGAUAUAUGGUGGUGGUAUAUGGCAACAAGGAUAAUGGUGGCGUGGUGGUGGUAUAUGGCAGCAGCAAUGAUGGUAACGUGGAGGUGGUAUAUGGCAGCGAUGAAAGUUGGUGCAGUGGCGGCGUGACAACGUGUGAACAGAACUCGAAACUCUAAAGAACUACUCCCUCCGUUCCUAAAUAUAAGUCUUUCUAGAGUUUUAACUAAUGGACUACAUACGGAUGUAUAUAGACAUACUUUAGAGUAUAGAUUCAUUCAUUUUGCUCCGUAUGUAGACACCUAAUGAAAUAUCUUAAAAGACUUAUAUUUAGGUACGGAGGAAGUAGACACUAAGACCAGCAACUCGACACGAUGAUGUAACCGCAGUUUCAACAAAGCAAACUAUUGAAAAGACUAUGCAAAAGCUCACAUUGGUUCGGAUAUGAUGAUCUAACCCUAAUUUUUUUAAUGGCUUUUUCUUGGACUAUAGGUAUGAAGAUAGAUGCGAUUUAACCUGGAAAUCUCACCAACAACCUGGAAAUCUGAUACCACUUGAUAAAGGCGAAGUUGUCCCUAUCUUUCGAUGAGAUCGUGGGUAUCGUUUUGGUGGAGUAGACUUUGACGAUCCAAGUACGAACGUGUGAGGACGUCGCGCCUUAGCAAUCGCUAAACCAACUCCGAGAGGUUAUUGACCACGCCGGAGCACGAUCAACUUGACCACGAAGGUCUGUUUCCUGCACGCAAACGAAGAACAAGCAAGAAACUAAGAUGCAAUCAAGAUAUUACGAAUAUAAGUGGAAAGCUUUAUUGAUGAAGGUGGGGUUCUGUGACGCCUUUGUCUGGUCGUGGAACACAAACGAAGAACGCAAAGUUGCAGCUAUGGUGAACUUGUAAUCUAAACAAAACCCAAGUCUAAACGGUGCCCUAAGGGUUGUAUAUAUGAGGGAACAGAUAGGCAAUUUCGUGACUGAUACGUCUCCAACGUAUCUAUAAUUUUUGAUGGUUUCAUGCUAUUAUCUUGUCAAACUUUGGAUGUUUUGUAUGCCUUUUAUAUAUUUUUUGGGACUAACUUAUUAACCAAGUGCCAAGUGCCAGUUCCUGUUUUUUCCAUGUUUUUGACCCCUUUCAGAGGAGGAUUUUGAACGGAGUCCAAACGGAAUGAAACUGCCAAAACGAUUUUUUUUCGGAACAGAAAAAGAUCGGUGAGCUGGAGAAUCGAGGAAGGGGGCCACCAGGGACCCCACAAGCCCUCACGGCGCGGCCAGGGGGGGAGGCCGCGGUCUCUGGCUUGUGGGCUCCCUGAGGCUCCGUUGCCCUAGGUUUUGCGCCUAUAUAUUCCCAAAAAUUCCAUAAAAAUGAGGAGAUCAUCGAAAGUACUUUUCCGCCGCCGCAAGCUUCUGUCUCCGCAAGAUCCCAUCUGGGGCACGUUCUAGUGCCCUGCCAGAGGGGGGAUUCAGACACGGAGGGCUGCUUCAUCAACACCAUGACCUCUUCGAUGAUGCGUGAGUAGUUCACCAUAGACCUACGGGUCCAUAGCUAGUAGCUAGAUGGCUUCUUCUCUCUAUUGGAUCUUCAAUACAAAUUUCUCCAUGAUCUUCAUGGAGAUCUAUCCGAUGUAAUAUUCUUUUGCGGUGUGUUUGUCGAGAUCCGAUGAAUUGUGGAUUUAUGAUCCGAUUAUCUAUGAAUCUUUCUUCUGAUCUCUCUUAUGCAUGAUUUCAUAUCCUUGUAAUUCUCUUCGAGUUGUGGGUUUUGUUUGGCCAACUAGAUCUAUGAUUCUUGCAAUGGGAGAAGUGCUUGGUUUUGGGUUCAUACUGUGCGGUGACCUCACCCAGUGACAGAAGGGGUAGCGAGGCACGCAUCGUGUUGUUGCCAUCAAGGGUAAAAAGAUGGGGUUUUCAUCAUUGGUUUGAGAUCAUCCCUCUACAUCAUGUCAUCUUGCUUAAAGCAUUACUCUGUUCGUCAUGAACUCAAUACACUAGAUGCAUGAUGGAUAGCGGCCGAUGUGUGGAGUAAUAGUAGUAGAUGCAGAAAGUAUCGGUCUACUUGUCUCGGACGUGAUGCCUAUAUGUAUGAUCAUUCCCUUAGAUGUCGUCAUGACUUUGCACGUUUCUAUCAAUUGCUCGAAAGUAAUUUGUUCACCCACCGUGAUAUUUGCUAUUUUGAGAGAAGCCUCUAGUGAACACUAUGGCCCCCAGGUCUACUCCACACCAUAUUUUCAGCCUUACACUUUUUACUUCGUUGCACUUUCCGCCUUCAGAUCUCACUUUGCAAACAAUCUUGACGGGAUUGACAACCCCUUUAUAGCGUUGGGUGCAAGCUAUUUUGUGUUUGCGCAGGUACUCUGGACUUGACGAGAUUCUCCUACUAGAUUGAUACCUUGGUUCUCAAACUAAGGGAAAUACUUACUGCUCCUGUGCUGCAUCACCCUUUCCUCUUCAGGGGAAAAAGCAACGCAAGCUCAAGAGACGACAGAAGGAUCUCUGGCACCAUUGCCAGGGAAGUACUUUUGUUGAUGUAGCAGUGACCCUUGGAGGAGGGGUCUGAAAACAUCCCUAAACUCGGUUUCCCCACACAUACAUAGAGUGCGAAAAUCAUGAGUGGAAGCUCCAUUGUUCUCUCCCACGCGUGCAACUUCUUCUCCAUGCUUGAUCCCGCUCCAACGGAUAUCCUUCUUGUCCAUGCUAGGUCCUUCAUUCAUGAGCACAACAAAAGUAUCUAACUUAGGCAGCAUCAUAUGUUCAUGAACAUUAGAAGUAUUCCCAAGAAACGAAAGUACAUGGUAAUUCAAUUGGCAUGCACGAGCUCUAGUAACUGGUCUAGUAUGUAUAGCAGCUGGGGCUGUGGGUGUAACAAUGGUGUUGAUGUCCUCAUCAGCAUGCAUAUCCACAGUCACCCCCACGUUGUUUAGUCGUGUGCCCGAGCUCCGUCGGAACCUUCUUCCUCUUUUGGAUGAGAUACACCAUCGUGGAGGUCCUGAUUCGUUGCUAGCGACUUCUUCCUUGACUUCGAGCGUUGGAGAUCCUCAUCGUUGAUUCGCCGACCACAGCGCGUCCCCGGCCAUGUCGCCGAUGCCUACGCAUCCGUUGUGAACCCAUGGUUCAUCCCCCUUGCUUCCGCAUUCUUCUGCGCCGUCUAGUGAUACGUCUCCGUCGAUCUAGUUUUCCGAACUCUUUUGCCCUUGUUUUGGACUCUAAUUUACAUGAUUUGAAUGGAACUAACUGAUACGUCUCCAAUUUAUCUAUAAUUUUUAUGGUUCCAUGUUAUUAUCUUGUCAACUUUGGAUGUUUUAUAUGCGUGAAUAUGCUAUUUUAUAUCUUUUUUGGGAGUAACCUAUUAACUCAGUGCCAAGUGCCAGUUUCUGUUUUUUCCGUGUUUUUGGCCCAUUUUCAGACGGAGUCCAAAUGGAAUGAAACUUUACGAUGAUUUUUUUUGGACCAAAAGAGACCCCCGAAGCUUUGGAAGAAGGCUAGAAGAGCCACGAGGGACUCACAAGCCCUGACGCCGCCACCACCCCCCUAGGUGGCGCAUGGCAGGCUUGUGACCUCCUAGUGGGCCCAACCGACGUAAUUCCACCGCCAUAAAUUCCUAUAAAUUCAGAAACCUCCAGAAAGAAACCUAGAUCGAGAGUUCCGCUGCCGCAAGCCUCUGUAGCCACCAAAAACCAAUUUGGAGCCCGUUCCGGCACCCUGCCGGAGGGGGAAUCCAUCUCCGGUGGCCAUCUUCAUCAUCCCGGCGAUCUCCAUGAUGAGGAGGGAGUAGUUCUCCCUCGGGGUUGAGGGUAUGUACCAGUAGCUAUGUGUUUGAUCUCUCUCUCUCUCUCGUGUUCUUGAGAUGUCUUGAUCUCGAUGUACCAUGGGCUUUGCUACUAUAGUUGGAUCUUAUGAUGUUCUUCCCCCUCUCCCUCUUGUAAUUAAUUGAGUUUCCCCUUUGGAGUUAUCUUAUCGGAUUGAGUCUUUGAGAACACUUGAUGUAUGUCUUGCACGUGUCUAUCUGCCGUGAUCAACUUGUGGGUUUGUGACAAUUGGGAACCUAUGCAUAUGGGUUGGCACACGUGGAUUCAUGUGAGUACUUGAUGUAUGUUUUGGUGAUCAACUUGCGGGUUUGUGACAUUAGGAACCUAUGCAUAGGGGUUGGCACACGUUUUGACUCUCCGUAGAAACUUUGGGGCACUCUUUGAAGUUCUAUGUGUUGGUUGAAUAGAUGAUUCUGAGAUUGUGUGAUGCAUAUCGUAUAAUCAUGCCCACGGAUACUUGAGGUGACAAUGGAGUAUCUAGGUGACAUUAGGGUCUUGGUUGAUAGGUAUCUUAAGGUGUUAUUCUAGUACGAACUCUAUGAUGGAUCGAACGGAAAGAAUAGCUUCGUGUUACUUUACUGCAGACUCUUGAAUAGAUCGAUCAGAAAGAAUAACUUUGUGGUGGUUUCGUACCCGACAAUAAUCUCUUCGUUUGUUCUCCACUAUUAGUGACUUUGGAGUGAAUCUUUGUUGCAUGUCAAGGGCUAGUUAUAUGAUMCAAUUAUGUUAUCAUUGUUGAGAGAACUUCCCUAGUGAAAGUAUGAACCCUAGGCCUUGUUUCCACGCAUUGCAAUACCGUUCGUGCUCACUUUUACCAUUUGUUACCUUGUUGUUUUUGUAAUUUCAGAUUACAAAAACCUAUAUCUACCAUCCAUAUUGCACUUGUAUCACCAUCUCUUCGCCGAACUAGUGCACCUAUACAACUUACCAUUGUAUUAGGUGUGUUGGGGACUUAUUUGGUUGCAGGGUUGCUUGAGAGAGACCAUCUUCAUCCUAUGCCUCCCGCGGAUUGAUAAACCUUAGGUCACCCACUUAAGGGAAAAUUGCUACUGUCCUACAACCCUCUGCACUUGGAGGCCCAACAACGUCUACAAGGAGAAGGUUGCGUAGUAGACAUCAAGAUCUUUUCUAGCGUCGUUGCCGGGGAGGUUAGCGCUUGAAGGUAUAUCUUUAGAUCUUGCAAUCGAAUAUUUUUGUUUCUUGUUCUUUCACUGAAAACUACAAAAAAUGGAAUUAAGGAUGCCUCAUAUGCUUCAUCUUUUCAAUGUCUUUCAUGAGCAUGAUAGGAAGGAAAAUUGUGCUCAAGUGCUGAAAGAAGAAUUACAUAGAAUGCUUGGCAUAGAAUAUGUGAACGAUGAGCAUGAUUGCAAUGUCCUUAGCAUGAAUUCUUUGAAUACCCAUGAUGCUGAUGAUAUGCAAAGCCACAAGCUUGGGGAUGCUAUAUUUGAUGAAGAUGAUCUUUUUAGUCUCUUCCACUUUGAAUGAUCAAAAUCAUUUUGAUGAAAGCAUGCCCCCUAUCUAUGAUGAUUAUUGUGAGGAUACUUAUGCUUUAAAGAAGAGGGAUGAUAAAACUUGUCAUACUCUCGAAAACCCCUUUGCUAAACCUUGCUUUUUCAUUGUGGACACAAUUUGUAGUGCUCAAGUCUUUUACGAUACUCCCACUACUAUUCUUGAGAAUAGAUUUCCUUAUGUGGAGAGUAGUAAAAUUUCUAUGCUUGUAGAUCAUGAAAAGAAUGCUUUAGGUGCUGGUUAUAUUGUUGAAUUCAUUCAUUAUGCUACUGAAAAUUACUAUGAGAGAGAAUCAUAUGCUUCUACUUAUUGCAAUAGUAUCAAACUUCCUCUCCAUGUGUUGAAAUUUUUGAAGCUAUGCUUGUUUUGCCUUCCUAUGCUAGUUGAUUCUUGUUCCAAUAAAUUGUUUGAUCACAAAAUCCCUAUGCAUAGGAAAUGGGUUAGACUUAAAUGUGCUAUCCAUAUGCUCCAUGAUGCUCUCGUUGUGUUUCAAUCCUUACCUUUUAUGUGAGCAUCAUUGAAAUCAAUGCCUAGCUAAGGGCGUUAAACAAUAGCGCUUGUUGGGAGGCAACCCAAUGAAUAAAUUUUUCUUUUGCUUUUUGCUUCCUGUUUUGUUUUCUCCACACCAUAAUAAUUAUGUUAUGAUUGUAUCUUUUGUGUUUCUUUUUGUCGUUUGUGCCAAGAAAAACCGUUAAUCGAUUAGUCUUGGUGAUGAUUGUUUGAUCAUGCAGGAAAAAGACARAAACUUUCUGCUCACGAAAAGCAUUUUCAUUUGUAUUAUGUAAGAGAUUUUGAGUUGAUUAUUUUUGCUUCUGAUUUCUACGAAAUUUCUUCAGACUUUCGUAAUUUUUCAGAUUUUUUGAAGUAACACAAGUAUACGAAGUAUACAGAUUGCUACAGACUGGUCUGCUGUUAACAGAUUAUGUUUUUGUUGAGUUGGUUGCUUAUUCUGAUGAAACUAUGGAUAGUAUCAGAGGGUACUAGCCAUGGAAAAGUGAAAAUACAACAACCCAACACCAACAUAAGUAUAAUUUAAGUUUUCUACAGUACCUAAGGAAGUGGUGAUUUGCUUUCUUAUACUAAUGAUAUCACGAGUUUCUGUUUUAAGUUUCGUGUUGUAAAGUUUUCAAGUUUUGGGUGAAGUUUUUAUGGACAAAGAGAUAGAGAGUGGCAAGAGCUCAAGCUUGGGGAUGCCCAAGGCACCCCAAGUUGAGUCAAGGAUUCCAUAAAAGCCUAAGCUUGGGGAUGCCCCGGGAAGGCAUCCCCUCUUUCGUCUUCGAUCCAUCGGUAACGUUACUUGGGGCUAUAUUUUUAUUCACCACAUGUUAUGUGUUUUGCUUGGAGCGUCUUGUAUCGUAGGAGUCUUUUAUUUUUUGUUGUGUCACAAUCUUCCUUGCUGCGCACCUAGAGAGAGAGACAUGACUCACCGUGAUUUUGUCGAGCUUCACUUAUAUCCUUUGGUAGACAAUUCAGCUCACAUGUGCUUCACUUAUAUCUUUUGAGAUAGAUACUUUUGCUCUAUGUGCUUCACUUAUAUCUUUUAGAGCGCAGUUGUGCGUGGCUUGGUAGUUGAUCUAUGCUUUGAAAGUAGUCUCAAAAGGGGUAGUUAUCCAAAGGGAUACGAAAUCUUCCACCUUCAUGUGCAUUGAAUAGUUAGAGAAGUUUGAUUCAUCUCAAUUAGUUUUGAGUUGUGGUUUUGGUAAUAUUGAAGUAAUGCUAGUAAGGUGUUGUGGAUCUAGAAAUACUUGUGUUGAAGUUAGUAAUUCCCGUAGCAUGCACGUAUGGUGAACCGCUAUGUGAUGAAGUCUGAGCAUGAUUAGUCUAUUGAUUGUCAUCCUUUGUGUGGUGGUCGGGAUCGCGCGAUGGUUUAUACCUACCAACCCUUCCCCUAGGAGUAUGCGUUGAAUGCUUUGUUUCGAUUACUAAUAAAACUUUUGCAACAAGUAUAUGAGUUCUUCAUGACUAAUGUUUAGUCCAUGGUUUAGAUGCACUUUCACCUUCCACCAUCACUAUSUUCUUAGUGUCGUGCAACUUUCGCCGGUGCACAAAACCCACCAUUAGCCUCCCUCAAAACAGCCACCAUACCUACCUGCUAUGGCUUUUUCAAAGUCAUUCCGAGAUAUAUUGCCAUGCAAGUACCACCAUCACAUGUGCCACCACGUCUACAUUGCCAUUGCAUGAUCGUAAGAUAGCUAGCAUGAUGUUCCAUUGAUGUCUAUGCCAUGCUAGAUCAUUGCCACGGUACACUACCGAAGGCAUUCCAUACAAAGUCAUAGUUGCUCUAAGUUUUGAGUUGAAAGUGUGAUGAUCAUCAUUAAUGGAGCAUUGUACCAUGUGAGGAAAUAAAAUAGGCCAAGGAAGCCCACCAAAAAAAAGAGGCCAAAGAGCCCACCAAAAAAAUGAGAGAAAAAGAGAGAAGGGACAAUGCUACCACUUUUUCCACACUUGUGCAUAUUAAGCACCAUGAUCUUCAUGAUUGAGAGUCUCUUGUUUUGUCACCACCGUAUAGCUAGUGGGAAAUUUUCAUUAUAUAACUUGGAUUGUAUAUUCCAAUGAUAGGCUUCCUCAAAAUUGCCUUAGGUCUUCGUGAGCAAGCAAGUUGGAUGCACACCCACUAGUUUUCUUUAAGAGCUUUCACAUACUCGUAGCUCUAGUGCAUCAUUUGUAUGGCAAUCCCUACUCAUUCACAUUGAUAUCUAUUGAUGAGCAUCUCCACAGCUCAUUGAUAUGCCUGGUUAAUGUGACUAUCUUCUCCUUUUUUGUCUUGCAACCUCCACCACAUUCCACACCAUCUAUAGUGCUAUAACCAUGGCUCACGCUCAUGUAUUGCGUGAGAGUUGAAAAGGUUUGAGAAAGUAAAGGUGUGAAACAAUUACUUGGCCAAUACCGGGGUUGUGCAUGAUUUAAAUUCGUUGUGCAAUGAUGAUAGAGCAUAGCCAGACUAUAUGCUUUUGUAGGGAUAACUUUCUUUUUCCUUGUUAUUUUGAAAGUUCAUGAUUACCUUGCUAGUUUGCUUGAA